UUUUUUUUUUUUUUUUUUUUGUACCAAAAAUUGUCUUGCAAUAGACAUAUUCCAUGGGGAAGAAAACCCAAGCUGCACAUUACUAGAGUUACUUGGGUAUAACACAGUGCAAGAAUUAACUUAUGUGCUAGUUAGUGCCAGAAUCGGACUAGUUAGUUUCCAAUCACCGCUUUCUCUUUCUUUUGGAAUUCUUGUCUAAGUCAACCUCAGCAGGCUUUGAUGAUAAAGCUUUUGACUUGGCAGCUACAGAAGCACUCCACAAAGCCCUCUCAACAUCUGAUGGUGUGAAUAGGUCCUCCUCGCUCGAAAGUUCCAUUGCCUUGGCUUGUAACUUCUCCACAAAAACUAGAUAACUCUUCAAUGUAUAGUCCUUCGUGUUACCAAUUGCUGCUUCCAUCGCCUCGUCGGACAUGAAUGGAGUAAUAUGAGGAGCAUAGGCAGCGAGAAUAGCGGAGGCAGUGGCGGGGCCCACGCCUUUCAAGACGGUGAGCUCCUUAACAGCUUUAGAAACGUCCGGCAACGACUCGAACGCUUUUCGCGAGGCUGAUUUGACAACGUCGUCGUUCAGCGAAGAAACGAAGUCCAGCAGCCUGGGCCUCCAUUUGCCCCUGCUCAGCUUCCACUGCAUUAAUUUUGAGAGUUCAUCAGUCGUUAUAUAUGGAGUAGGGUUCCUCUGCUUUACCAGUACCGGAAGCUCGUUCCUGUAGAAAUCGUCGAGGGAAAUAAGGUUUGGUUUGUUUAAGGAUUCGAUGCUGGACUUGUAGGACGACAGAGCCGCCUUCCAUGAGCUUAUGUCCGAGCAUUUCAACUCCAUGGCUGCCAUCACUCUGCAACCUUUUUUCUUUUUUUUUUUUACGCCAUUUCAAUUCACAGUUUUUGACUCUAACAAUACAUUACUCUGUCAUAUUCCCUAAACUUGUAUACAAUUGGUAAUAAUUUUUGCACCUUCCAUUAUGUGAAGGACAUAGAAACCGGCAAUUGUGGUUUAUAUACAGUAAAAUUUAAGCAAAACAAGUUUUGGCAUAAGGAUUUUGAUACAAAAACAAGCACAUGACAUUUUCACCAUGUAUAAACUCUAAUAUUUUUUUACACCAUACACCAAAAACUACUUCACAGAAAAUGGAGUUUACUCAGGGAGAACAAUCUUGUAGGUCUUUGAGCAUCUUGGAAGCAUUAACAAUUUCCUCCAUUUAGAAUAUAACCAAUGUUCAGUGGAUGCGUUAUCCUCUCAAAACCUAAAACUUAUUUCUUUGAGAACUGCUUCAUGUUGUAAAAGAUACUCGAUGAUAUAAACUGAGUUCGACAACCAGAACAAUCAACAGUUUCAACUUUAUUUAGCAUCUGAGCGAGACAUGAACGAGGUAAAGUUCGGCUCCCUGCUGAAAACUUCGUAUGCACCAAAUUUUCAAAUCAUAGGGUAUCUUCAUAGAUGAAGGUAAAAUCAUCAAUAGGGUGAAAUUCUAUAAUGUUCUCUGCUGUGACUAGAGACUCUUAAAUUUUUUAGUGCGUGUUCAUCAAGAGAUUCAAUCAUCAAGUAUCGAAGAUUUGGGUUAUCAAUCAUAAUUUUGUGAAUGUCAUUAUAGGAUAAUGUCAUUCUUCUAAGGGAAUUCAUGGAGAGAUCUAGAAUUUGACCUUCUUCUGGGUAGCACUAAGACAAAUUUAAAUCUUCAAGUGACUCACAGCCCAUAAAGAACUUUGCAACUCUUUCCCCACCUAUUGAGAAAUAUUUGGAGUUUAUAACUCGUUUUUUCUAACUUAUGUAAUCCCUUAUUUGUAACACUUUUUGGCGCAACAUGCUACUUCAUUAGAAAUCUUGUACUAACUUUUGAUUAUAUUUCUAGAGCAAGUGGGUAAAUAUAAGCAAAAGUAAUACUUGCCCUGCAGCUAUAGGUGCUUGAUUUUCGUACACCAGCUUGGAUAGUUCGUCCUCCCCCAUCAGUUGGCUUAAGUUCCAUGUUGUGUUUUUAGCUAGUAUGCACUUAACGGGAGCUGACUUGGUUCAAGACUUUGUUGACUCUAUUUCCAUGAAACUGAUAGUAACACACUUCCUCAAUAGUCAUACUUCUUCUCUUUCUAUUUUUUUGUCCCUUCUCUUCAUCCUCUUUGCCCCUUGCCCCCUUCCCCACUUUCCCCCUUGCCCCCUUGCCCCCUUCCCCACUUUCCCACGCCCCUCCCCAAAAAAUAUGUAAAAGGGUUGUUCAAUUAAAACGUAGAAUAUUGGAAUUUCACACCAAUAUUUUAUAGCAGCUUUGGUGCACUGGAACCAAGAAACUGACUGAGUUAACAUUGUUGACUCAUUGGCCUCAUAGCAAGUGGAAAAGGUUAACUGAGGGCAAGAGUCCAAUGAAAAGGUUAACAUUGUACUCAUUGGCGUUGAUAAUGGCCCAGCGGCGUAAACCCAAACGAAACAAGUAGUUAUCUUGAUGAGCAAGUGCUAUGAAAGAAUGGACUUGUUCUUCAUCUAUUGGUUUCAAAUUUCUAUUGUGAAUAGGAAAGGAAAUCUCUGUUCUGGUUUACUAGAUUCUUUAAAGUUUAUGAGGCUAGAUAAAUAUGGUUAAACUGCAUCUGUAUUAACUUUCUAAAUGUUGGUCUGUUGUAGUAAUAGCACUGUAAGUACUGACUGUGUAUUACACUAAGUUUUGCUGCCAAACCAUUAAAUGAAGAUUUUAGACUUGGAAGCAAACAAUUUGAUUCUCAUCUGUUCCAGUUUUCCUGAUGCGGCCUAAGGCUGAAAUUGAUAUUAAGGAUUAGGAUUCAGUCUGAAUGAACUUGAUUGUACAUGAAAGCCACAAGGGGGAACCUGAUUCUACAAACUUUUAAUGCUUCUUAAGUGGUUGCCUUAAAGCAUCAGUUUAUAGUGAACUCAUACAAAAUCUUAGAUUGUUCAAUCAAAAAGCAAUGCAAGUAUACUACAUGAUUUGUAGUUUGCCAGUUCAUCACAUCCGAACUCUUCUACUUUAUUUGUUGAAGUUUGUAAUUUGAAUUUGCAGUCUCCAAGUAUUGUGGUCCUGGAUGUUUGUACCAUAAACUUCUUCUGUAAGAUUCAGUGCCAAAACUUCUCUUUGGGUGUUUGUUAUAUUUUUAUAAGAAAGAAAGGAAAUGGGAAGCAAUUUGAAAAAUCUCAAUCAAGUACUCAGUCACCGGAAAAACUUUGAGGCUAUGUUGCAUGGACUAAGGCAAUGGAUAAAGCCUUGGCUUAGGUCUUGCUUGACCAGAUGGCUAAAGGGAAUAAGAGUGAUGGCAAUUCUUGCAAGCCUCUAGUUUUACAAACUGCACUUGAGUAAAUGAACUCUGAAUUGGGUCUUGAAUUGACAAAAGAAAACAUAAAGAGUCACCUCAAACUGUGGAAAAGGUACCAUGCGGUGGUUACAGAUGCAAUCAAGACACAAAGUGGAUUCAAGUGGGAUGAAGAAUGAAAGAUGAUUGUUGUGACAGCAAAAGAUGUAAAUGAAUGGAAAGUUUAUGUUAAGGUACAAAACAAGCAGUCAUUUAUCUUGUGUUGCUGCCUAGUUUAUAUGAUGAAUUAAUCCACUUAUUUUCAUGCAGUCUAAUCCUGAUGCUAUGGGAAUGCAAAACAAAGUAGUUGACAAUUGGAAAGAUAUUGUUCUGUUGUGUGGGAAAGAUAGUCACUUGUGAAGGUGUUGAAACCUUUGAUGAGGGAGUUGAAGCAAUGGCAGAAGAAGAGUAAAACAAAGCAAACAGUUUAGGAAAUAUCAAAGGACACUAAUUACAGCCCUAGAAUUCUCUGGAUGUUCAGUAAAGCAAAAUCCAGAGCAGAAAAAAUAAAUACAUCACCAUAAUGGACCAUUUCACUCCAUAAGUUCAAUUAAACAGAGUCUUAUAUUUUAACCGCCACGAGGACUUCACUUUCUUCUUCUUCCCAACUGGAAGAGCCAUUUCUUUGAUCUUUUGAUACUAGGUAAGGCAUUGUUUCUUUUAUUUGUGGGUAGUAGCUAAGAGAAGCUAAAUCUUUGUCUCAAAUUUCUGUGAAAAGUAAUUUUGCCUCUGAAAACAGAGUUUGCCAAAUUCCUCCUCCGAAACAUAUCAAACUGUUCAUCAAGGAGAGGAAUGCCUCCCGUCUUUGCGAACAUCUUGAUGACUAACCCCUCUAACUAUUAUUGUUAUCAUUAUACAAAUAUAUCAAAAGAAGCAAUUUUACUUGACACAAGGAAGCGUUCAACUUUUCCAUAGAGCAGAAGAUCUAUCUGACAUUAACUAAAUGUCAGCACCAAUCUGGAUAUAAAAAAUGCGAAGUUCAAGAACAAAAGGUAAUUGUCAAACUUAGAGUAGUCUCAAAGAACACAAGCCCCUUGUAGGUGUUUUAGACUACAUAGAUUUGCAUAAAUGGAACAAAGCAUUGUCCACUUCGAUGUUUCGGAACAGAAUUGCAAAAGCACUCAGCAGUGAAGAAUCGUACAGGCCACUAAUGUCUGCAAAUGAGCAUAGGCGGCAAUAAUGUACCAAACAACAAACAACAAUUAGGAAACCAUAUAUGAACUGGCACUGACUAAUAUUUUUAGAUUUGAUCUUGCAAAGUAUGGGUAGAGUUCAAUAUUUCUUUACUGAAUCCAAUCUCAUGAUCACCUAAUUGCAGGAAGAAAAGAACCACAGCAAUAAUGUUAAAGAAGAAGUUAACGUAGCAUCUACAGAUAUUCAGAGAACGAGUUAAUGAUUUUGGCAUCCAGUACAUUAUCAACGCCCGCAAAAAGGGCAAAAGUAAUUAACUCUGCUUUUAAAUGGACCAAAAUACCACAAUACUUUAUAUGUCAAACCACGAAAACCCAAUAGUUCAGAAGAUUGCGCUCACAGGAAGGAAUCUGUAGAAUGAAACAUUAAAGUCCAGAAUCUGGAAUCAUACAGAAGAAAACAGCGCCAACAUCUUUUGGAUCCAGAAGUAGCGAAUUUGAUAUUUUGUGUUUCUUUGAGCAUCUAAAGCACAAAAGUUUCCUCCAUACGCUUAAUGAAGCACAACCUCACAGUUUUUGAAGCUCCUCCUCGACUUUGAUAACUUCUCGUUAACGAAUGAUUGCCUUUUUCCCGAAAUUCACCUUCAUAAGCAUAUAUAGACAUCUUCUGCAACACACUCCCAUGCUUCAGAAAAUAUCUUACUAUCUGAAACUCGUAUUUUCUCCCACUGAAAUUUUUUAUUUUAACUUCUGUAAGAUGCUCAUCCAAACACCAAGGUUUGUCUUUAGCACUAUUCUGUAGGAGUAUAUUGCCGUCAAUUUCCUAUCCGCACUGAUCAAAAGACAAAAGCGAAACCUUGACAUUAGAUUAAAUAAUUUUAUCUCUACCUAUUUUUAAAAGGAGAAAGGCAAAACUCAUUUGGUCCACUCCGUUCAAAUCACCCAAGUUCAAAGGCCAACUCACCAUGUCACAGACAAGCACUUCCAAUUUUCAACGCGGCAUGCCAAUAGUUCCAAGUGUGUCAAAUUUAGAAGUUCAGGUAGCAGAUGAUUUGCCUCAUUGAGACACUUCAAAUAACAUAAAGUGCAACAGUUAUUCAAAUGGAAGCAAAAUAUGUACUGUAAGCCCAAAAAUCAAGAAAAGGUCACUAAACUACAGAUAUUCACAAUUAAAAGAAAUUUACCUCUAUAAUAUAGCCCCACUAACGGAGAAUCUUUACAUUGGACAUUUCAUCAAUGAGCUGGUGAAACUGAUAAGCCUCAGUCAAAGAAAUAAAACAUAGAUCAGCUCCAAUAAAAGAUUUCAACUUGCAAGUUGAGCCAACUAGUGGGCAUGAAACAUUCCAGAUGCUCAAGAUAAUCACAUUCCAGACACUCAAGAUUCGGGGUGUUAAGAACAACCCGAUCCCCUCCAAUAGGAACAUUCCAAACCAACUUUUUUAGCAAAGGAAUCGAAAUAUCAACUAAUUCAAUAUCAAGAUGAUUGACAUUAGAAACCCGGAAAUCCCCAAGCAAUGGAUAUCUCACAGCGACUUCCCAACGUCGAGUAUUACUGAGCAGUCUCACCUCUCUUGCUAAACUCAAUACGUUCAGACGUGGAAGCACGAUCGUUCCAAUUCUGGAACCCUGAGGAUAAACUCUCACGUAAUUUCAAUACUACAAGCGAUUUGCGUCCAAAUAUAUCAGGUGGGAUGGAUUUUAAGCUCUCACAGUAGCAAACUCGUUCAACGCAAAUGUCAACAACUUCAACUUUGCUACAGAGUGGAGAAGAUAUCCACACCUUAAUUAGAUCCAUUUUCCCAUGUCAUAGCUCUAAUAAUCUAAGCCGAAAUUCUUUUAUGGAAGUUUUAUGAGUUUAUCAAGUCUCGCAGCCAAACAACGGAUUCCCGCCUCGAACAUCAAUUCAUCUUUUUUGUUAACACCAUGUCUGCCUUUUAGGUCAGGAUUUUUGAAAACCAGUGGCUCGUCAAAGUCAAUCUUGGGAACGUCUAAGAAAAGAUACCUCCACCUGGUGGAAAGGACGGAAGUCACCGCAGCAAAUUUUGUCCGGAGGAACGAGAGUAUGUGGUGGAUGAUGGCGUCAGGCAGAUCGCUGAGUUGAUCUUCUAUGGGAACUCCUGCACUACUAGUUUCCUCAGACAUGGUUAGUUUUGAGAUGGGCUGUCAACCCUUUGCCUGGGAACUAUGCCCUGCUGAGUAUUUCAAUCAUGGCUGCCUUUGAUAUGGGUUGUGAUCACAGGAAGGACUCCGGCCCUAGUGGAUGUAAGUUCCCCACUCAUGGCUUGGCUGUAAGCAUGUCAAUGGGUUGCGUUUGGAUUGAAUUCUUUUAAUUCAGAUGUAAAUCUAUUAAAUUUUGUUAGACCUAGAUCUUUGGAGAAAUUUCUAAUUUUGUGAUGAAUUUUAAAAAAAUUCUACAAAAGGGGUGAUUUUGAUUGGGUAUUCCGUAGGGGGGGUCUUCGCAUUUUGCGAAUGCGAGCUCUGCUGAGCUCGCAUUCGCAAAAUGCGAGCUCUGCUUAUUGAGCUCGCAUUCCACGAAUGCGAGCUCAAUAGAGCUCACCCUGAUAUAUAUAUAUAUAUAUAUUUUUUUUUGGGCUCUCAUUAAAUUUUUUCCAGAAAAUAGUAAGAGCUAAAUAAAAUUUUUCAAAUAGCUCGCAUUUGAUAAAUUUGACCUCUAAAAAUUGUAUUUAAUUUUUUUGUUAGAUUUCGCAUUUAUAAGUAUGACUUUCAGAAAAUUAAAUUCAAACUUGCUAGAAAAAAAAUUUAAAAUGAAAUUUACGAGCUCCCACCAAAAUGUAUCUUUUUCAGAAAAUGUUGUUUGUUUUGUAGAAUUUGCCUUUACUAAAAUGCUGUCGGUAGUAAAAUCUUAUUUUAAAAGCUCUACUAAAAUCUUAUAUUUCGGAGAAAUGUUAAAGAAAUGUUAUUUAAAAUCUGUAAUUAGCAGAGGAAUAAAUUUUUUUAUUUUAAAACUUGCACGUGCCUAAAGUCAUCAAAUAUGUGUUCUAAAAAAAAUCAUAUUUCUUUUAUAUUAAAAAAAAUUGGUAAUUGUACGGUUGAAAAUACGUUAUUUUAUUAUAAUACAUUUAAAUGGUGGAAAAAGUACACAUGCAUAGUUCUUUCUAUUUCAUAUAUCAAUGAAAAAAUAGAAUGAAAUUGUUAACAUGUAAGGUAUUGACUAUAUUUUAUGAAUAAAAUACUAACUUUUUUUCCUUUUUUAUCAAAUAAAUUUUUUUUAUCAAAUUCUAAUUUUCCUUUGUUAUUAAUGAAUCGUAUUUAUUUGUUGACACCGACGAAUUUUAGUUAUAAGAAUCUAAUAGUUAAUAGUCAUUAAUAUCUGUUACAAUUUCAACUGUAAUUUUAGAAAUUUCAUAACGCAAUGUUAUUUAAAAAAAUUAUAUAAGUUAUUUUUAUGAAGUGCAUGUUAUUUGUUUUCUUUGUUUUGCUGUUCGACAAUUCCGAAAUCUUUGUUUUGAUGUUCGGCAGCUAUGUUUCGAUAUUGCGUUCUGCUUCUCCCACUCACUUUUGUCUUUUUUUUUUUCGAAAUGGGUCUUGGCGGUAUGUAGUGCGAGAAUGCGAGCUCAAUGCGAGCUCAGUGAGCUCGCAUUUUCAGAAUGCGAGCUCAAUGUGAGCUCGCAUUCCCGGAAUGCGAGCUCAGUGAGCUCGCAUUUCCAGAAUGCGAAGACCCUCUUUUGUGGAAACAAACCCAAGAACCGCCCUCGUUGUAGAAUUCUUUUUUUUUUCCAUCAUAAACUGAGAAUUCACCCUAGAUCUUUGUGGGUCUGAAAAAAAUAAGUUCAAACCCAAAUCCUUCUGGAUCUGGUAUCCGGUAAGUAUAGGUUCUAUUUUUUUACACACACUAAAGUAAAAAUAUAUAGAUUUGAAAAAAAUAUAAACACCAUCCAAUUUUUAUUUUCAAAUAAUAAAAUUAAUAUUCAAGAAGUUGAAUGAAUAUACGACUACUUCUAUUUAUUUUUAAAACUCCUACUAUAUCUACGUCCAAUCUUUCAUUUAUUUGCCUUUACUUUUUCUUGUUUUCCUGAAAUAGUUUGUACUAAUUACAAUGAUAACUAGGAUUAGUUUGAAAAAAAAUAAUUAUGAAGUCUUAUUGUAUUCGAUCCAAUGACCAUAUAAUAUUAGAAUAUUUUAUAAAUUUACUAAUAUAUAUAUAUAUUUUUAAUUAUAUAUAUAUGGGUCUGAAUAGAGUCUGGUAUGGGUUUGAAUUUGAAUAUGGGUCAUAAAAAAUCAGAUCCUACCUAGCCCCACAACCUUGUUAUAGGAUUUGGGUCUAGAUUUGAGAAAUUAAAUCCAAAUCCUACCCAAGUAUCUUGAAUCUGGGUUGGAUUUGGGUAAGAUCCGAUACAUUGACAUGCCCACUUAGCUGCUUUUGAGAUGGGUUUCUUUCAGCCAAAGAUGCCUUAAAUAAUUAGGCGCUAUUAUUUACUUACUUUAUCCCAAAACUAAUGAUGAAAUGUAACAUAGUUUGUUGAUUAUUUUUUUAGGGUCCAUUUGGGUGCUAAAAAUAAUUUUGAGCCUUUUGAUAAAUAUCGUCCCAUAAAAUUAGAAACGAAACUUUUUCAGUUAAAAGCACUUUUAGUAAAAGAUCAAAUUUGAUGCUUUUAGAAUAACUUUUGUAUUUGAAGAAAUAAAACGUUAAAUUUAAUCAUGUUAUCCUAAAUUAUAAAUUAUGAAUUCAAUAAAGAGAUAAAUGCAUUUAAAAAUUUUCAAAUUGCACAUUAUCAAACACAAUAAGUAUUUAUUGAACUAUAUAUCCAAAUAAUAUAUUUAAAAGCAUUUAAGCACUUUUAUUAAAACUUCUAUUAUGUGAAGUAUUUUUUUGAUAAGCUAUUGCAAUCGUAAAUGGGUGAUUAGUUACAUUAUCCACAAAACUAAUUGUCAAAUGUAAUGUAGUUUGUUAACUCAAGUGAGAAAACAUGUUUCGCCCUUAGAAUUGUUAUCAGUUUACUCCAAUAAACUAUAACAUUAUUUUCAAUUUAUCUCCUAAUAUUAUUUUUUAGGCACCACUGAUGAAAUUAAUUUAGCAUAUUGCAAAAUUUUAGAUGAAGUUAGCUUCCUCUCUUACAAUUAAAAGAAAAUGAGAUACCAAAUUCAAAAAUCAACAAGUGCUCUUAUCUCUUUUUUUUUCACUCUUUUUAGUUACCAAAAAGAAAAUGAGAUAGAGGAAAGAGUAAGAACUUAAUUCUAAGAAAGAAAAUGAGAAAAAUUCAAUAUUCUCAUUAUUUUAAAAUCACUCCUCACUCUUCUACCUUCCACCAAAUUCCAACUCCGAUGACUUUAAAACGGUCAAAAUAUUAGAUUCUUCUUUAUUUUUUCUUCUUUUCAAAUUUGAGUUUUUGGUGGUCUCUCUCUCUCUCUCUCUCUCUCUCUCUCUCUCUCUCUCUCUCUCUCUCUUCCAUAUCUUUUUCUUUUUCUUUUUCUUUUUCUUUGUAUUAGUGGGAAUGAAAAAAAGAAGAAAAAACCCUUUUGCUUUUACUUUCUUGGUACUCUUAGUAUAAAAAAAAAAAGAAGAAUAAAACCAUUCUAACUUUUUAUUGUUUAAUUAUACAAAACAGAAGGAUGUUUCCAUUUAAAAUAUUUAAUAUGUUGAAUUGGCUUAGCAGUAGUAGAAAAUGCCUAAAAUAUAACAUUAGAAAAUAAACUAAUAGUAGCACUAUAAUUUAAGGGGUAAAGUGAUAAUAACACUAUACUAGUACCAUUAGAGAGAAGGAUAUUUUUGUUCAAAAUUUUACGUAAAAUGACAAGAAAAAUAACGUUAACAAGUAAAAUGAUAGUGGUGCUAUAGUUUAAAGGAAUAACAUAAUAAUAACCCCUACAUAAUGCAGAGGAACUGUUGCAAUGCAGUCGAAAGUUUUCAAAUAGGUGUUACAAUCUAUGGCACCAUCACACUCCCAAGAAAUAAACUAUCAACCAAUGUUCAGGAAAACACAAAACUGAAAAAUAUUGAUUAAGACUCCUUCAAAUCCAUGCAUAAGUAACGGGUAAAAAUUUGCUUUCAAAUGAAGGUUGACAUCCGUGCACAAGCAAGCACAUCGAGACAUUAUCCAAUUAAGUUAUUGUAGUUCAACUGAAAUUUAUUGUAAAGGAAUUUUAAAAUUAACUUGUUAGUGAAUUCAACAAUCAAAAAACACAGCAAUCAGCAGCCUAGCAUAAUUCUCCAGUCACUUGAACUUUGACACAUCCAGUCUAUUGCCCAUCAAUUUCUUAAGUUAGCCACCUGAUCAUUAACCCUGCAAUUGAAUGUGUAAAUACUUGAAUUACACUGGACGGAUCAUUGCUAAAGUUUCGUUAUCACUAUCUUGUGCCUUCCUAAUGCUACCAUCACCUCCGCAGUCUCAUCCAAAAUGGUUAAACCAAUUCUACCCUGCCCUUUUUUUUCCCACGUUCCAUCCAUAUUGAUCUUCAAAGCAUCAACGGGUGAUUUGUUCUGCUUGACAGGUGCCGAGCCUGUGCAAUAAUAAAUACCUACUCGAGAAAAAUAAAUUUUCUGUGUAUAGUAGUGAGUAGGGUCAAAUCCACAGGGACUGGAAAAAAUUCGAUUCUUUUCAAGUUCGGGACACGGGGGGUUUUAUCAAGAUGAAAUUAAAAAUAAAUAAUUAAACAAUUUAACUAAAAAUAAUUAACCAAAAUAAAUAAUUAAUUAAUACAAUUGUAAAUAGCAAUUAAAUAAAUGAUAAAUAAAUUCUAGCCAAGGAUACAACUACGCAGGCACAGUCCAUUCAUCCGAUCAUUGAUGCAAAGAAGGUUCACUUAAUUUUAUUAACAGGUUAGUUAUAGUCGCCGAUAAACUCUAACAACCAGCUUUUCCAUAAUUUAUUGAUAACCAAGGUACGACCGCUGAUUACCCCUAACCAGGAAAUACUCCUAGGUACGACCGUAGGAACUAAUUUCCUAAUUGCAUUAAAAACUAGAAAAGCCUAACCCAAAUUAAUAACACGCUACGAGGGUUAUUUAAAUCAGAUUGCAUGUCCCCCUAAUAUGUGAAAAUACUAGUUGUCACUAAUAUUAACCAACUAAAUAAUUACGGAUUCAAUUGAUUAAUUUGACAGGAGAUUAAUAAGUCAAAUUGCACAUCGGGCCCUUGAUAUCCAAUAAUUGUAUAGAGUUUCACAAUAAUCUUCUCAAGAAGGUUUCUGCUCCACUUUCUGAAAGUAUAUCCAAAUAUCAAAUAUAAAUAUAUAUUGACAAUUAAAGCAAUAUUUGGCAAGGAUAAAGAGGAGAAUUAACAAUAAAAUUACUAACAAUUAACACCCUAUCAAUUCCCCCCACACUUAAAUCAUGCUUGUCCUCAAGCAUGGGAACACUAAACUCAACAAUGGCUAACUCUCAUUUCAUUUACUGCCAAGCUACGCUUAUCCCAAAAUCAAGUUUUAGUGGUUAAGUGUCAAGACAUAUUUCUCCCGGUUAGCUCCUGAAAUCAUAGACUCGUCCAAUUCAUGGCUAAGUCGUCUAAGAAAUCAAAAUAUUAAACUAGCAAAAGUUAGCAAUUGGGUCAAUUGAAAAUCAAAAUCUCAACAUUGAAGAACAAGGAUCGGCAGGCCAACAUGAUCAUAAACUUACUUAUUAUUUUCUUUUCUCUUUUUUUUUUUUUCAAUAAAUGCUCAGUCCCAAGCUAUUCAAGUCUUUUGACGUGAACUCUGACAUUUUUAGAUGAAAGAGCCCAGUUACUCAACUCUUCACAGCUUCAGGACUAACUACUCAUAUAUAUAGUCACUUUUUGACGCGAAAGUCGACACUUGUGGUGAAGACUCCCGGUUACUGGGUGACGACACUAGCGGAGUAGGGUCAUUUAUUACUCACAAUUAAAGCACCAGAAAACCAGAUAAUUAAAGAUCAUGGCCCACGUCAUCUCCUAAUAUGGAGAACUAAGAUCAACAAUUGCCUAAUCCACACAACAAUUGCUAGGAAAAUAUUUAUAUUGCCUAAACAAUUUAACCACAAUUUGCACCAAGUCAUUAAACUCAUGAUAUUCACCAAGAUAACAUGCUUUUACUUGCCACUUAAACUAAAUUCAUAGAAUAAAUCAUAACCAGCAAUAGACGAGUGAGAUGCCACAUUUAUUCAUCAAAACACUAGUAAGAAAGGCAGCAAAUUAAAGAAACACCAAUCAAAACUAAACCCAAAUCCCCCCCACACUUGAAUCACACAUUGCCCUCAAUGUGAUAAUGAAACAGUAAAAAUAAGAAGAAGGACAACGAAACUCCCCUGAAGCUGGUGCCAGCUAUUAGCACCUGUAGUUGGAGGAGGUGAAGCGGAGGUCAAAGGGUCGGGAUCGUGGUUUCACCAUUCUUUCCAAAUUGCACUCCAAACCACAAUAGACAACAGUUGCUAACGAAUAAUGGAAACAAGAAAUUCAAAGCACUAACAAAUGAAAAAUCAAGUCAAUGAACAAAAUGCACACUGCAUUCACUCGCAAGUUAUACAGAUAUUUCAACACUUAUAACAAAUGCAAUCAAUAAACACUUGUGGUUCCAAACUUAGCCAAAUGUAAUAAUAAUGCACCUCAAAAUCACCCCAAUCAAUGUAGUAAUUGAAAUGCAAACAGACAAAAGGCUCUCAUAUAAGGCAAUUGAAGGCAAUGUACUUCAAUAAGUAAAUUUAAGUGUUAAAGGCACCUCCCAAUUGAACAAACAACUGUAGCAAAUUACCCACAGUUAGACACAAAGUACAGCAGAAUAAGUAAAUCACACGACUAACCACAAGUCAAUCUACUAAAUAAAUAAAAAUCAAGCAAAGUGAAAAGAAACAAGCAAAGUAACACAGAAGUACCCAACUAAGGAGGAAUAGAAAUGUCAGGUAGUCCAAACACGCAAAAUUUUCAAAAACGUACUGUAAUAAAAAUAAUAAAAACAUACUGCAAUAAUAAAAUAAGAAAAUGAAAAAAAAUAAUAGAAAGAGAUUGAGGCAGGCGCGUGCAUACGAAGCCAGUGGUGCGAUGAAGGUGGUGGCUGUGAGAGAGAAGAGUUUGCGGCAGCUGGAUCUGGUGGUGCGCGGCUUUCGGGGCUUCAGGCGGAUCUUGGAGGCGGUGGCUAUGGCAAGGGUGAAGGAGGUCAGAUGAGCUGGUGGUCACCCUUGGCGAGGAGAGCCGAGGCAGCGGCGAGAAGAGCUGGGGUGGGCGGCGGUUGCGGCAGCAGCGUCCGGCGUGGGCAGCGUCGACGAGCGGCAGGGAGGAGCGGCGCGCGAGCCAGUUGCCGCGACUGUCGUGGGUCAGCGGAGCUUCUGGCGGCGGCGAAUGAAGAAGAAAAGAAAAGGGGGAAAAAGGGCAAGCAGCGGGGAAGAAAAGAAGAAAGAAAGAAGAAAAGAAGGAAAGAAAGAAUACAAAUUUUUUUUUUUUUUUCGAGCAUUCUGGACAGAAUCCGGAUUUAUGGCCGGAUUUGCUGCAGAAAAAGCUGUUUUCUGUAGUUUUUCCUCCAAAUUUGCUUGGCCAACCUUCCACAUUCAACCUACUUCAUGUUCUUUGAAUAAAAUUCAAAUUUAAUAUGAUCAUGCAUGAAUAUAACUUAAACAUGAAACACUUUAAAUGCAUGAAAUGCAGCAAUUGAACAUGAAAACUCCCUUUUUGUCUUAAUAUAAACACCCUUGCAAUUGAGAUCAUUUGCAUGAACUCUUGCCAUUGCCUCCUACAAAACACACAAACAUUAAUCGAAGAACUAAAACUUACUAAAAACAAGCCAACAUGAAGAAAAGUAAAGUUGAAAAGUGAUCCAAGCCUUCGUUUUUAAAAGGAUCCGAGGUCGUAUCAUUGUGCUCAGAAAACGCGGCUCAAGAAAACGCGCCUCAAGGUGCGUUUUGUGAAGUCGCGUUUCUUCACCAAAUUUGCAGCAUUGAAAACGCGACUACGUGAGAAAACGCGACUUUAAGUCGCGUAUUUGAAGGCGCGUUUUUGGUUUCUGAACAGGCUGAAAAACGCGACUGGGUAGAAAACGCGACUUCCUGUCGCGUUUUGAAGGCGCGUUUUCUUAAUUAUAGGAGCAGAUUUGAAAACGCGAUUCUAUGAAAACGCGAUUCAGUGGCGCGUUUCAUUGAAAAACGCGUUUUCUGCUGCAAAAUUUAGCAGAAAUUCAACUUUUGAAUAUUUACAAAUGAUACCCCAAUUUCCCAAAAUGCAUCAUAGAUCAUUUCUAUGUCAAAAUAAAUCAUUCACGCAUAUGUAAAAUGAUCUAUACAUGCAUUCUAAACCUCUUUAAUGCAUCAAAAACCACAAUUACUGAAUUUGAGGUAUUGAGAUCUUUGAUCAAAUUUCGCCUUUUUUGCCUCAUUUGGUCACUUUUCCAAAACCUACAAAUGAAAAAUAACAAAAUUACUCAAACUUAUACUUUAAACAUAAAAUCACUCCAAAGUAACAGCAACUUAAAAAAAAAAUUGGGUUGCCUCCCAAAAGCGCCUUUCUUUAACGUCUUUGGCUAGACGGAGUCCAGAAUUUGCUUAAACUAAGCAAAUCGGGUCUUCCAGUUGCAUCAUCUCCACCCGUUCAAUUGGAAAUCUUUCAUAAUACGGCUUGUGACGAUGACCAUUCACCACAAAUUUCUUCUCCGUUUUCAAACUUUGGAUCUCUACUGCACCAUAAUGAAAGACAUUAGUCACAACAAAAGGGCCAAUCCAACGAGAACGUAAUUUACCUGAAAAUAGUUUCAAUUUGGAGUGGUAUAGCAAAACUUUUUGCCCGCAGACGAAUGUCUUCCUAGAGAUCUGUUGGUCAUGAAAGAUCCGAUUCUUCUCCUUAUAGAUCACUGCAUUCUCGUAUGCUUCAUUUCGAAUUUCUUCCAACUCUAGUAAUUGUAACUUUCUUUGAAUUCCGCCUUCCUCGAUAUCCAUGUUGCAUUGUUUGACCGCCCAAAAUGCUCUAUGCUCAAACUCGACCGGGAGAUGACAUGGCUUUCCAAAUACCAAUCGGUAAGGGGACAUGCCAAUGGGUGUCUUGUAUGCCGUCCUAUAUGCCCAUAGUGCAUCAUCUAGUCUCACACUCCAAUCCUUCCUAUCGGGUCGGACCAUCUUUUCUAGAAUUGAUUUGAUCUCUCGGUUUGAUGCUUCCGCCUGACCAUUUGUUUGAGGAUGGUAGGAUGUAGAGAUUUUGUGCAAGACACCAUAUCUCCUAAAAAUUGCAGCGAUCGUUUUGUUGCAGAAAUGAGUACCCCGAUCACUUACAAUUGCUCGCGGCAUCCCAAAGCGAACAAAAAUAUUAGACUUAACAAAUUCUGCAACCACUUUGGAAUCAUUAGUGCGGGUAGCCUUUGCUUCUACCCACUUCGAAACAUAAUCUACAGCAAGCAAUAUAUACAAAAAACCAAAGGACGAAGGAAAAGGACCCAUAAAAUCAAUGCCCCAAACGUCAAAAAUUUCAACAAAAAUCAUUGGGGUUUGAGUCAUUUGAUCCCUACGAGAGAUAUUACCCACUCUUUGACACUUAUCACAUGACUUACAAAAUGAGUAGGCAUCCUUGAAUAGAGUUGGCCAAUAGAAUCCACUCUCUAGCACCUUACGAGCCGUUCUCUUUGGUCCAAAGUGACCUCCACAUGCAAAAGAGUGACAAUAGGCUAGAAUAGAUUGAAAUUCAACUUCACUUACACAUCUACGGAUGAUUUGAUCGGCACCCCGCUUCCAGAGGUAAGGAUCAUCCCAAAUGUAGAACUUUGCAUCGCUCCUCAACUUGUCUCUCUUUGCCUUAGGCCAUCCUGUAGGAAAUUUGUCAGUAACUAGAAAAUUAACAAUAUCUGCAUACCAAGGUAAAGAUGAGUUAAUAGAAAAUAAAUGCUCCUCGGGGAAUGCUUCUCUCAAUGGGAUGUCAUCUUCGACGACUUGUACUCGACUCAAGUGAUCUGCUACCAGAUUCUCCGCCCCUUUCUUAUCUCGGAUCUCCAGGUCGAACUCCUGUAGCAAUAAUAUCCACCGUAUCAAUCGCGGUUUUGCCUCUUUUUUUGUCAACAAAUACCGCAAAGCUGCAUGAUCAGAAAAAAUAAUAACUUUAGCACCAAGUAAAUAAGACCGAAAUUUUUCUAAGGCAAAAACAACUGCUAAAAGCUCUUUUUCGGUGGUUGAAUAGUUCAAUUGAGCUCCGUUCAAGGCUCGAGAUGCGUAGUAGAUAGCAUGAGCUGCCUUUCCUACUCUUUGACCCAAUACCGCACCCACUGCAUAGUCGCUGGCGUCACACAUGAUCUCGAAUGGGAGGUUCCAGUCAGGGGGUUGGAUAAUAGGUGAGGUGGUCAAUAACUCCUUUAACUUAUUGAAUGCCCCCUUACAUGUUUCAUCAAAUUCGAAGGAUACAUCUUUUUGCAAAAGUUGGAACAAGGGUGCUCCAAUUUUCGAGAAGUCCUUGAUGAACCUUCUAUAGAAACCUGCGUGACCCAAGAAGGAACGAACUUCCCGCACACUCGCGGGGUAAGGUAAAGUAGAUAUAACAUCUAUUUUUGCCUUAUCAACCUCAAUACCUGUAGAUGAUACAACAUGACCCAAAACUAUCCCGUGUUCAACCAUAAAAUGACAUUUUUCCCAAUUAAGCACGAGAUUAGUUUCUAUACACCUUACUAAGAUCAAUUUCAGGUUAUCUAGACAGUUUUCAAAACUUUCACCAUAUACACUGAAAUCGUCCAUGAAAACCUCAAUAAUUUUCUCAACAUAUUCUGAAAAAAUACUUACCAUGCAUCUUUGGAAGGUAGCAGGUGCAUUGCACAAUCCAAAUGGCAUCCUUCGGUAUGCAAAUGUCCCAAAUGGGCAGGUGAAAGUAGUCUUCUCUUGAUCUUCGGGUGCGAUGGCAAUUUGAAAAUAACCUGAAAAUCCAUCCAAGAAACAAUAGUAAGCUCGACAUGCUAAUCGCUCCACCAUCUGAUCAAUGAAAGGGAGGGGAAAAUGGUCCUUUUUCGUGACGGCAUUUAGCUUUCGGUAAUCGAUACACUGUCGCCAUCCGGUGGGCUUUCGAAUUGGUACGAGCUCACCCUCUUGGUUUGAUUCCACUGUCACCCCUGCCUUCUUCGGGACCACCUGUACUGGACUUACCCACGGGCUAUCUGAUAUUGCAAAUAUAAUUCCAACGUCCAGCAGUUUUAAAAUCUCUUUCUUUACGACCUCCAUCAUGAGAGGAUUUAAUCUCCGUUGAGCUUGCCGUACGGGUUUAGCAUUCUCCUCGAGUUGAAUUCGGUGCAUACACACCGCAGGGCUAAUUCCCUUGAUGUCGGCGAUGGUCCAUCCUAUCGCCUGCUUAUGUUCCCUAAGAACUCGAAGUAGUUUCUCUUCUUGAACCUUUGAUAAACCCGCGGAGAUGAUCACUGGAAGUGUCUCCCCUUCACCUAAGUAUACAUACUUUAGGUGUUUCGGCAGUGGUUUUAGUUCCAAGACAGGUGCCUGCACCACAGAUGGAAGUAACCUUUGGUGAGGUUCGGGUAUGAAAAUCGGUACAAGAUCAUACCUUGUUUUCGUGGUUGGUAAUGUUUGCAACGAUCCAAUCACGCAUUUAAGCUCUUCACUCAACUCUACCCUAGAGGUCGUUUCGGACUCAAAGUGCCUGGUCAGGACGACCUCUAGUUCAUCCCUGCCUUCAAUUUCAAAAACCUCCUGUAUAGCAUGGUCAAUAACAUUUAUCGAGAAAACAGAGCCAAUAUUUGAAUCGGAUGGAUAUUUCAUGGUCUCAAAGAUGUUAAAGUGAACAAUCUCACCAUCAAAUUCCAUAGACAAAGUACCCUUAUUAACAUCAAUUUUGGUUCGGGCUGUGCUCAAAAAGGGUCUACCUAACAACAAAGGUGACGGAUCACGGAAGUGUUCAUCCUCCAUGUCGAGCACAUAAAAAUCAGCUGGAAAAACCAAUUCGUUAAUUUUUACCAAAACAUCUUCAAUCAACCCGUCAGGGUAUGCAUUGGUCCUGUCAGCUAAUUGGAUUAUUAUCCCAGUCUCUUUCAAAGGGCCUAAGUUUAAGGAAGCAUAAAUGGACUUUGGCAUGACAUUAAUUGAGGCUCCCAGGUCUAACAUGGCCUUUCCAAUCAAAGUAUUACCUAUCCUACAAGGAAUAGUAAACAUACCUGGAUCUCCGCAUUUUGGUGGAAGUUUCCUUUGUAGAAUUGCUGAAACAUUCUCCCCAACUAUAACUCGUUCAUCCCCCUUCAACCGCUUGCGGUUGGCACACAGGUCCCUCAAAAAUUUUGCGUACCUGGGUACUUGUUUAAUCGCAUCCAGCAGGGGUAUGUUGAUCUCCACCUUGCGAAAGAUCUCCAAGACCUCUUUUUCCUUGUCUUGCUUCUUUGGUUUCUCUAACCUGCUAGGAAAGGGAGGUGGAUUAGUUUUAGUUGUAGGAAUUGGGUUCGAGGGUACCUUUGCAUUUUUGUUGUCUGUGCCCUCCUCUUCCAAUUCUUUCUCAAUCCGUUCCUCGUCCUUGUCUUUAGGAAUCACCGGUUCGGGUCCUUGAACUUCCUUGCCACUCCUUAAGGUCAUUGCGCUUACAUUCUUUGGAUUUGCCUCAGGUUGAGAUGGCAACUUUCCUUGAACUUGGGACUCCAACCGGUUGAUUGUUAUAGCCAUUUGAUUCAUUUGAUUUUGCAAUGAUUGCACCUGUCCCAGUUGAUUCCUCAUACUUUGCAAGUCUGAAUCCGUCUUUUGUUGAUUAGCAAGUAAUUGCUUCAUCAUCUCUUCCAUGGACGGACUUGAGUUUGAAAGUGGUGGUGGUGGUGGUGGGCGAUGAUGGUACUGCUGUUGGUGUCCUUGCUGUCUAUUUGGCACAAAGUUAGACUGCCUAUUUCCUCCAUAACUAAGGUUGGGGUGAUCCCUCCAACCAGGAUUGUAGGUACUUGAGUAUGGGUCGUACGGCUUUCUUGGCGCGGGCGCGUGGCCAGCCAUGUUCACCUGUUCAGCAGUUUCUUCUUGAACCAAUGGACACAUUUCGGUAGGAUGACCCACGGCAGUGCAUACCCCGCACACUUUGGCUUGCGAUGUAUUCCCCACAGCUAGUUGUCGUACAAAAGAUGUCAAUUCGGAGAGUUGCUGUUGAAUAGAGGAUGUUUCUACCUCAUUCACCCUACGCGUCGGGAUGUCCUCUCUUGAACCAAACUGCUGUGAGUUCUCAGCCAUCCCUUCAAUCAACUCCCAGGCUCCUCGAGGAGUCUUGUUCACCAAUGCCCCUCCACUUGCAGCAUCGAUUAUGCUUCUGUCCCUGAAAAGCAACCCCUCAUAGAAAUAUUGAAUGAGCAGUUGCUCACUUAUCUGAUGCUGAGGGCAUUUGGUGCACAGUUUCUUAAACCUCUCCCAGUACUCAUAGAGUGACUCGCCUGGGUGUUGUUUAAUGCCACAUAUCUCCUUCCUUAGGCUCGCAGCUCGAGACGCAGGAAAGUACUUGUCCAAGAAUUUUUUCUUUAGUUGGUCCCACGUGGUGAUACUACCAGGCGGUAGGUAGUAGAGCCAGUCUUUUGCGGAAUCCUUCAAAGAGAAGGGGAAGGCCCUCAUCUUUAUUUGCUCUUCAGUAAUUCCCGGAGGCUUCAUACUGUUGCAAACGACGUCAAACUCUUGCAAGUGCUUGUAGGGCUCCUCACCUGGUAGACCAUGAAAAGAUGGCAAGAGAUGAAUUAGACCAGAUUUUAGUUCAAAGGGAGUGUCAUCAUUUAAAUGUGGAAAAGUAAUGCACAAGGGCUGCUGAUUUAAAUCUGGAGCAGCCAACUCCCUUAGUGUUCGUGCAUUUGCCAUAGUGACUUCCUCUUGGUCUGAAUCACUUGAAUUGUCACCAGACAAAUUUGUCGGCUCAACCUCUGGAUCAAGUCCCUGAGGUGCAAUAUCGUAUUGCUCCUCCCUGAGCCGCCUGGUUUCUUUCCUCGUUCUACGCGCGGUCUUCUCUACUUCAGGGUCGAAAAUUAAUUCGCCUGUACGAGAAGAGCGAGGCAUAAACUAGAAAAAUAACAGAAAAAAAUGAACUUAAAAAGAAACAAAUGAUUAACGCCAGUCCCCGGCAACGGCGCCAAAAAUUGACAGGUGUCGAGCCUGUGCAAUAAUAAAUACCUACUCGAGAAAAAUGAAUUUUCUGUGUAUAGUAGUGAGUAGGGUCGAAUCCACAGGGACUGGGAAAAAUUUGAUUCCUUUCAAGUUCGGGACACGGGGGAUUUUUAUCGGAAAUAAACUAAAAAUAAUUAAACAAUUUAACUAAAAAUAAUUAAAUAAUUUAACCAAAAAUAAAUAAUUAAUUAAUACAAUUGUAAAUAGCAAUUAGAUAAAUGAUAAAUAAAUUCUAGCCAAGGAUACAACUACGCAGACACAGUCCAUUCAUCCGAUCAUUGAUGCAAAGAAGGUUCACUUAAUUUUAUUAAUAGGCUAGUUAUAGUCGCCGAUAAACUCUAACGACCAGCUUUUCCUUAAUUUAUUGAUAACCAAGGUACGAUCGUUGAUUACUUCUAACCAGGAAAUACUCCUAGGUACGACCGUAGGAAUUAAUUUCCUAAUUGCAUUAAAAACUAGAAAAGCCUAACCCAAAUUAAUAACACGCUACGAGGGUUAUUUAAAUCAGAUUGCAUGUUCUCCUAGUAUGUGAAAAUACUAGUUGUCACUAAUAUUAACCAACUAAACAAUUACGGAUUUAAUUGAUUAAUUUGACAGGAGAUUAAUAAGUCAAAUUGCACAUCGGGCCCUUGAUAUCCAAUUAACAAAAUAAUCCCAUGGAAAUUAAAAUAGAAAACAUGCAAAUAUUAACAAAUUAAGGAACACGUAAAAUUAAUUAGAUCUCACAGAUAUUUGGGAUUGCGUCUUCGCGUUGAUCCUUGACUAGAGGAGAAAAUUAGCCACGCCUCAUAAGAAAAUUCCCACGCAAUUUAAUUGAACUCAAAGACAUUUAUCUCUUACUAAUAAUUAAAAAUAAGGAUUAUAUUCUCUGUAGUCUAAUACAAUAAAAAUAGUCUCAUGGAAGAGACGGAAGAAAACAAGACACGCAAGAAAUCUUCACCCCAAAACUAAAAACUCCUCUUUCCAGACGGAAGAGAAGAAGAAAAACUGAGCUGCGGAAAUGUGCGACUCUCCCACAUAUAAAAACAAGCCAAUUCGAAACUUCACUCCACGCUUACAAAAGAAAACAUUCCUUCCCUACCUAAUCAACUCCACCGAAAACAAAAGCAAAGCCAACUAUGGUUUGUCGGUUUCCUUUGACCAAGUGCACACGUUCACAAAUAAGAAAGCAAACCAAAAAUGUGUCUUUACACAAUGAUCAAGUCUUCGCGGUCCCCACCUAAUUGAGAUGUUGGCCAGCCAAAUGCAAUUCAAUUCCUUUUCAUCAUAGAAAGAAAAGGACGUUGGUUUACACCAUGCAUAUGGGCCAAUUGUAUAGAGUUUCACAAUAAUCUUCUCAAGAAGGUUUCUGCUCCACUUUCUGAAAGUAUAUCCAAAUAUCAAAUAUAAAUAUAUAUUGACAAUUAAAGCAAUAUUUGGCAAGGAUAAAGAGGAGAAUUAACAAUAAAAUUACUAACAAUUAACACCCUAUCAGGGGACAAUAUAACCUCGACAUCAGAAAAUCUUUUACCUUGGUAUGAAUGCACAACCGGUGACAGUUGCCUGGCUCAUUAAAGGUGAAAAGCUCUUCAGACCCAUGUAAUACGCAAAGAAACUUUUCUUCUUUGGCUUUCGCCACACAAAAUUCAACUAACAAAUCAUGAAUGCUACAAGUUUUAACCCUAGUAAAGGAUCUCUUUUCCGCAACCAUGACCAAGCUUCUAUUAAUCAGAUCCAUCAUGUAUGCCUCUGCCACCUCCUCUAAGCUCCUUGACCCACUUUUUUGCACAAAAUUUUCAGCGAUCCAUAAGCUUGUCAACUUCCAAACAGGAACUUCUUGGACCUUUGGAAAUGCUGCAAAGUAGAGAAAGCAUGGUUUCAAGUAAUCAGGUAAGUUUUUGUAACUUAGCUCCAAGGCAUCCAUGCACUCUUUUGUACCACAAACAGUGUUUGAACCUAACCUUGUUGCAACUUCUUCCCAACCAUCUUGGUUUGUUGUUGCAAGAAUUCCAGCAAUGAUGACAAUUAUGAGAGGUAAUCCAUUGCAAUUUUUUGCUAUUUUCUGCCCAAGAAUGACAAGCCCUGGAGGAAACUCUGCAUUGCGACAUAUCUUCUUUUGUAAUAAUUCCCAACUCUCAUCGUAAGCGAGCUGGCGAAGAGGGUGUAGUUUACUAUCAGUUUUAACUUCUUCAGCCACCUUAUGAAGUCGACUUGUUAACAGAAUUCUACUUCCAUUUUUAUCAUCUGGGAAUGAUAUAUGCAAGCCAUUCCAUGCCUCAAUGUCCCAAAUGUCAUCCAAAACUAUGAGAUAUCUAUUCUUCUUCAAAGAUUGGAACAGCUCCAGGGCCAAAUCAUCUUCAUCCUUCCCAGAAUAUUGAGCCGUCUGUACAAUACAACCCAGAAUCUCAAGUAACAAGUUUUUCAUGCAAUAUGCUUGAGAAACAUGACACCAUGCUUGAACAUGAAAGUGACGUCUAAUUCUGGGAUCAUUAUAGAUUUUUUUGGCUAAAGUUGUCUUACCAAGCCCAGGCAUUCCCAAGAUCGAGACCAUGUCCAGCUUCAUCGAUCCUCGAGUAAGUUGAUUGACUAUUGUUUCUGUCUCAUCGUGCAAGCCAACUAUAACUUCGUCAAUUGUUUGGAUACUACCUUGUGGCGGCUCAUGACUUAGCACCUUGGCAUCUUUUACAGCUACAAAACCAUAAUUACUAUUAUCUGUGAAACCAACUUUGUUGAUUCUUGGAGAGUUCAGUAUUGAUGUUGCAGGGUGCUUAUUUAGAAUUCCUGUUUUAAGAAGUUUAACUUUUCCCAGCAAAUUGAAAAGGGAAUGAUCCACUUCCUUGGCCAAGACUGACUUCAGAUUGCUCAGAAAAAGAGAGCAAACUACUACACCUGCAUCACUAACCACAACCGGAACAAGAUCCUUUAGAUUUUCAUCUAGGUCAUUGAGCUUCUCCUGCUGCUUCAUGAGAAUGGUUCUCAGGAAUCUCAAAUGCUCAUAGAGUACCUGCAGUUGAUCCUUCAGAGAAAUCAUGACACUAGUACGGCAAUGAAGUAUCUCAAAAAGAUUAACCAGGUGAGAAUCAACAAACUGCCCCAAUAUAUGCAGAUCCUUCUCUGAAGGCUGAGUGUUAGAUGAUUCUGAUGAAGUUGAAGCUAUCAGGAGUUGGACAUAAAUCUCAAGAACUCCAAGAUCAUCAGCCUUAAUCUUCUGUAGCAAUUCAGGAAUCAACUGACUAUCAGCUUUGACUUGGGGAUCAUCAGCUCUGAUCUCCUGUAGUUCUACAAAUAUCAAGAACAUUUUAUCCUUUCUAUCAAACCAAUACAUGCAAGUAGCCAAUGCUGCUCUCAAAGCAAGUACUUCAAAUUGAGUCGAGAGAUUUUCCAAUUGCCCAUGCCUAACACCUCGCCAUGUGACAUAGAGGAUAAAAUUUCUAAAGAACAUCAGCCUCUCUUCAAGGGCUUCAAUAAAUUCUGGAAAGACUUUAUCAUAAGCUCUUACCAUAUAAAAAGCUUGAUCAUAAGGCUUGCUCCAUUUGAGAUCCUCCAGAUUUUUAAGCAGUGAGUCAAUGGUCUCCAUAAGUUCACCUCUUGCAGGAGAACUGGAACGCACGGGGCAAUCCACCAGAGUGGAAUACAAUUCUUUGAUUUCUUCCUUGAAUGAACCGAUGAUUUUUCGGAAUUCAGAGACUACUUUCUCCAAGUCACUCGAUGAGAACUCUUCCCCUGAUAUUUGCAGGAAUUUCUGAAGAGCAUCUUGAAGUCUAGCCAAGGAAGAUCUCAGACUUACAUGCUUAUUAUCAUCAGAUUCCAAACAGACAUCUUUUCCACAUUUUCUCGAACAGAGAAAGAGUGUUCUCAGAAGUCUUAACUCCAACUUCAGCAUCCCCAACUCAUCCCUCUUUUUCACUAAAUAUUUAUCCAGCAACUCGAGAUUAUGCAAGAUUGCAUCGAUACAAGCGGAACCCAUCUCAGGAGAAUUUGAAUAAACUUCAAACUUGGAACUAAAUGAAAUGAAAUCUUAACUCUGGAACUUGAAGCGAUUCUCCUCUCUCCCUCUCAAGUUUUGGGUCAACCCUUUCAUUUACAAAUGAAAAAGACAGCGGGAUUAGGCCAACAUCCACACAUUCCGCGGUUGAAAAUGAACAGGUCAACUGUUAUCCUACUGAUUCCGCCGUAGCUAAAUUUACAGUAUUGUAGGUCUAUUUUUAUCUGUAACCAUUUUGGGGUGGGGGUACAAAAAAGGAUCUGUAGUUAAAAUUAAUCCAUAGGCUCGUUUGAAAAUCGGGAAAUUUUGGUUGGAAGACAGGGGGAGAAAGAAAUGGGAGUGAAAUGAGGUGACAGAUAAAAGGAAAUUGAAAGACAUUUCCCGCUCAAGUUCGGUAAUUCCGUUAAACAGGAAAACUUGAGAAUAGGAAAUAUUUGAAUAAUUUAAAGAGGAUAUAAAGUUUGGGAAGCUAUGGACAUGUGGAACAAAGUUACUAUUCAAAAUAUUAGGAAACUAUCAAUUAUAGUUUUCUCUUCACCUAAAAUAUGUUUAUAAGAGAAGUUUAAGGUAAAAUAUUAUAUGUAAAAUAUUAGCUAAACUGUACGCGUCACGUGACAACACAUUAAUAUCAAUCAAAAGUCACCAACUAACGUCAUAGGUCAUUCUACUAAAUAAGAAAUUGAUCACCAUUAUUAUUUAGUGAUAUAUGAUUGUUAUUAGUGUAUCACGUGACAUAGCACAUAACAUAUGGCUUCGAGAGUUGAAAUAUGCCUUAAACAAUCAGGCACCUGAAUCAGCUGCAUACAGUUCUGCACUACUAAUUUCUGAAGAAAGGGAAACUGAUCGUCUGGACCUGUCCACCUGACAAUGUCCAGUAAUUCCAAUACCAAGAUUCUAAGUUUAGGGAAAUCCCCUUCUUUCAUUUCCCAAACUUCUCCCCCAUGAUCUCCUCGUAGUUUGAGAACCUCAAGGUUGGGUAGCUUUCCUACCGGGGGGAAUUGCACUCCAGGAAAAGCUCGAUAGAGUUAACUUUUUUAGGUUCAAGGGAAAACAAAACUCGCAAUGGUUCUCUUUCAUAUCAUACAGAGAAAGUUUUAGUGAUUCUAAUCUGACUCAAAAAGUCCAGGUCCACAAUCUUAUUGCAAUCUUCCAUGGUUCCUUGGCUUCAGAGACUCUGCAUUUUAGUCUUUGGAUUUUUGGAAAUUUUCUCAUUAUUGUUUCCAUCUGUUGUCCAACAUACAGAAUUGGAGUGAAAAAGGUGUCUAUAUUCUUCAGAUCAUGGGAGUUUUCAAGAUUCUCUCCGGCCAAAGUAAGGUGUAAAAAGCCACCACUUAUGUGGAGAUGCCUCAAUUUCGUCACAUUCCAGAUGGUAUCUGGCAAGGAAACAGAACAAUAAUAUACUUCCAACAGGAAAGUUUCCAAGUUUGAUAGGUUCGCUAUUGAUGAUGGGAUGGAUUGCAUUGCACCUAGAACUGCCAGAUAUCUCAAGUGAACAAGCAAUUCAAUCUCGGUAAAAAGUCACCUAGAUGAACUUGCUGUAGAUCCAAAACUUUAAGAAGUUUGAAGAUGCGAAAAAUGAAUGAGAUAUUACACCGAUUAAGAGGGUACCCAUCGUCACAAGUAAAGAACAGUAGGCUGCGUAGUUGGCUACAAAAUGGCCUCGACUUCUCAAGAUGCUCUCCUUCAGAAUAAGUGCACAACCUGCGUAUAUUGUGUGGCUCAUCAAAUGUAAGAAGCUCAUCAUAUCCAUGCAAAAAUUGCAGGAAAUUUUCCUCUUUCGCUUUUGCCAAACAAAACUCAUGUAACAAAUCAUGAAUGUGGCAAGUUUUGACCCCUCCUGUGGAGCUGCGUUUUGCCAACAUAACCAAGCUUUUGCCAAUUAGACCCAUCACGUAAUCCUCUGCUAUGUCCUUUAAGCUCCUUCCCUCUGAUUUUUGCACAAAUCCUUCCGCGAUCCAUAACCACAUCAACCUCCAAAUAGGAAUUUCUUGGUCUUUUAAAUAUGCUCCAAAUUAGAGAAAGCAUGGCUUCAAACAAUCAGGUAGAUAUCUGUAGCUCAUCUCUAAUAUGUUCAUGCAGCGCUCUGUGCCACAAACAAUAUCAGAACUUAGCCCUUCUGCAACUGCUUCCCAACCAUCUUCCUCCAUAGUUGCAAGAAUCCCAGCUAUGAUGACAACUGAUAGAGGUAGCCCAUUACAAUUCUUAGCUAUUUGGAUUCCAAGAUCACAUAGUUCUUGUGGAAAAGCUUUUCCAGGAAAUAGCUUCUUUCACAAUAGUUCCCAGCUCUCAUCAUAACUAAGUUGGCGAAGAGGGUAAGGUCUACCAUCGGGUUUAAUCUGCAAAGCCACCUCUUGAAGUCGACUUGUCAAGAGUACUAGCAUCAUUGGUGAAUGACCUUUCCAACCCAUUCCUUGCAUCUAUAUCCCAAACAUCAUCCAAAAUGAUGAGAUGCCUAUUUCCUUUCAAACAUCUGUAGAGUUUUUCCACCAAACCAUCUUCAUUCAUUGCAAAAUAUUCAUGACAAAGCUUCGGAACAAUACAAUCCAGAAUCUCGAGAAAUAUAUCUUUCGUACGAUACUUGAGAAAUGCAACACCAUACUUCUUACCAUCAUAAAUCUUCAAGGCUUCAGUCUUAAUAUGUUUGAUUUCUUCUCUAAGGCUACUAAGUAACAUAGCAGAAGAAUAAGUAGUGUCUCCAACCAGUAACGAGUCAAUGACAAACUCAAGCCUUGUGUCCCACCUCUGUAACAGGAUUCCAAAGAGCUUGAAGCUUUUCAUCCAGGCUGCACUGCUCCACAAUACUCUCCAGUAAAGAUCUUAGAAAUACAAGAUCUUCCUGCACUGUUUGAAUCUGAUCCUUUGCAAAAGCAAUUGAUUCAACCUUGCAGCUUAGUAGUUCCUUCAUAUUUUCAAGGAGAUAAUCGUCAAAGCCCGGCUCAUUUGUCUUGGAAAGUCAAAUUCUGACGUUAAUGGGCACUUGUCUGCAAUUUUGGGCGUCAAAAGCGUAACUAUUUCGAGCCAAGCAAAGAGCACAAGCUCCAUUUCCACGGCUGACCCUUGUUCCAAUUCAUGAGUAAAAAGCCAGCAAGUUAUAGUACCAGCACUAUUUACAAAAAAUUAUCAUACAAGUAUGCUCUCAAACGCUAGAAAUAAGUAUUUAUUAAGUACUUUUUGUAACAAUUCUAUUAAACAAAGUACUUUAUUAUAAAUUACCGCAAUCCUGAAUUGGCUCUAAAUAUGCAAGAGGAAUCUGGGAAUUUGGGAAGCAUAACUGAAAAAGGGUUGAAAAUUAUGGCAAAAUGUAAUGAAAAUUAAUCAUCACGAAAUUGAUUCUACGUUUUGUGUAAUUAUUUUUAUACUUGAUAAACUUUGUACAUCUGGUCAAAUUCUGCCACAAUGAAGAAAUAAUGAAGGAAUUGCGUCUGAAUCACAUUUUUUUAUGGAUGGUUUUCUUUUUCUUUUUUCUUUUUUUUUUUCAAUUUGUGGUAACUUUUUGGUAUCUCAUUUACAAUUCAAAGUUGCAACCUAAAAGGAUAACUUUUAUGUUCUAAAUUGUGUCACCCUAAAUGGUAAAGUUAUAAACUUUUUUUUUUUCUUAUCUUCACUUUAUCCUUGUGGUAAAACGUAUUGGGAUACUUGGUCAAAAACUUUGGCAAGUUUAAUUAGCAACUCACUAUUGCUUUGGAAAUGCUUUUUCUCUAAUGUUUGGUCUCAUUGUUUUUGCUUCAAAUUACCCCUUUUUUUAUUCAAUUUUUUGCCUUUCAUAUGAGCACUUCCUAGUUUGAUCAAUUCCAAAAAUUUCGCUCUGCAACUUUAGUCCAUCUGCUGGAGAAAUGAACUUCAAAAUAUAGACAGAUGAAGGAGAAAAUUGUGGUGCAGACAAAGAAAUCCAGACAAACAUGAAGAGAAAUUGUUGGAGCAAAUGAGGAAAGGUCACCAGAAAUAGCAAUUUCAAAACUUCAUUGUCAAACCACUAGCAAUAGAAGAAUUCAACUGUGGCUGCACUUUCAUUACAGAAGGCAGUGAAAACAAAUUCAAAGUAUCAGAAGUAGCAAGAAAAUGAAGAAAAACAAAGAGUGUCCUAAGCUGAAACCAUUGCCAGGUGCUGAAGUGAAACACAGAAGCUAAUAGAUGAUAACAGAUGAAACACUCAGCAAUAUUCUUUAUUCACAAAAAUCCACUACAGUCAUGCAUUUAUUAGUACAAAGCAUCCUUCUUCAAACAAGAACUAAACUUGGUAACAGGUGGUCAUCACAACUUCAUUUAUUAAUUAGUACAUUGAUUUCAUAUCCAAAUCUCUGUCAACAAUGAAAAACAUAAAUAGAUUCAACCACUUGACAUGUUAUGCGACAUGUGAGGGCGAAUUCUUGCUUCUGAACAGAACAUCCAUGGUCUCGUAUCACUGGAAGAUAAAGAUCUUGAAAUCAUAAUUUCCUGAGCUGUUCUGUUCCUCCUCAAUCUUCAAAAGUAAACUUCUAUCCAAGACUGGGCAGUCACGCACCUCAAUCAUUCCUAGAUGUUCAAUAACCUCUAAGCAAGAAGGGAUCUCUUCUAGUUUGCGACAUUCCUGCAGCACUAAUUUCUCAAGACAGGGGAAAUGAUCGCUCGUGCUGGUCCAUCUCACAAUGUCCAAGGAGCCUAACUUCAAGAAUCUGAGUUUUGGGAGUUCCCAUUCUUCUUCCAUGUCCCAAGUAUUCUCCUCACAGUGGAUGGAAAGUAGUUUGAGUACCUCAAGAUUGGGUAGAUCUCUCAGUUCUGGAAUUAUACUCGAAUGCAAGUAUGACAGAGACAGCUUCCUUAGGUUCGAGGGAAAAUGAAGCUCGCUAUGAUACUUUACUCUUCCAAAUGAUGAGGACAGGUGGAGUGAUUGUAGUCGACUCAAAAACUGCACUGCCACGGUCCUGUUGCAAUCCCCAGUAGAUUUCCCUGAUUCAAAGAGUGUGCAUUUUAGUCUGCGGAUGUUUGGCAACUUCCUCAGUAUCUUUUCAAUGCUUUGCCCAGAAGAAAGGCUAAGCACAGAAAAGGUCUCUAAAUUGUGUAAGACAGAGGACAUUUCAAGGUUUUCUGUGGCCAAACUAGACCCAAGCAAGCUAAAACCACCAUGCAGAUGUCUUAAUUUCUGCAUAUUCCAGAUAGUAUCUGGCAAUACAGCUGUACUAUGACUUUUGACAAGAAGAGUUUCUAAAUUUGAGAGGUUGGAUAUUGAUGAUGGGAUCGAAUCGAAUUCACCCUGAGCUGCCAAGUACCUCAACUCAACAAGCAAUAGCGUUUCACUUGGAAAGCAAAAUCCUAGACGGAUUUGCUCCAAAUUCAACACAUUAAGAAGUUUGAAGAUGCACAGAUUGAAUAAGAGACGACAAUGCUUCGGUCCAUACGCAUUAUCAAGAGGAAAGAAUAGUAUAGAACGUACACUGGGACAAAAUAUCCUUGACCUCUCAAAAUGUUCUUGGAGAGAAUACACGCACAACCAUUGCUGAUUACACUGCCCAUUGAAGGUGAGAAGCUCAUCAUACCCACUUACCAAAGACAAAAAUUUCUCCUUUUUCGCUGUUACCACACAAAACUCAUGCAACAGAUCAUGAACACAACAGGCUUUAAUGCCUCCUAAGGAUCUUUCUUUGGAGAUCAUAACCAAGCUUCUGCCAAUCAGAUCAUUGAUGUAGUCCCCGGCCACAUCUUCUAAGCUCUUUCCAUCACUUAGUUGAACAAAUCCUUCGGCGAUCCAUAAUCUCAUCAGCUUCCCAAAAGGAAUCUCCUGGCCUACUGGAAAUGCACCGAAGUAAAGAAAGGAUGGUUUCAGAUAAUCAGGUAAGUUUCUGUAACUCAACUUUAUUAUGUCCAUGCACUGUCCUGUGAUAGAAAGAGUAUUUAAGCUUAGCCUUCCUGCAAUCUCUUCCCAACCAUCCUGCCCUGAAUUUGAAAGAAUUCCAGCUACGGUGACUACUGUGAGGGGUAAUCCCUUACAAUUUUUUGCUAUUUCCCUCCCUAGUUUCUCAUCAUAGCUAUCCCUGCAAGAUAGCCUCUUUUGUAACAGUUCCCAGCUCUCAUCAUCAGUGAGUUGGCGAAGGUAGUGAGACUCACGGUUAGGAUUAAUUUUUUGGCUACUUCAGGAUGUCUACUUGUGAAGAGGAUCCUGCUUCCAUUGGCAUCAUUGGGCAGCGAUCUUUCCAACCCACUCCAUGUGUCAGCAUCCCAGACAUCAUCCAAAACAAUGAGAUACUUAUUUUUCAGUAAACGCCUUUUGAGCUCUUCCUCCAAAUAGACUUCACUCUUGUUCAGAUAUUGAUCAGAAAGUUCAGGAACAAUCCAUCCCAAAAUCUGAAGAACCAAAUCUUUCUUUGUAUAUACUUGAGAAACAAUGCACCAUGCAUGACUAUGAAAUGUGCGUGUAACUGAAGGAUCAUUAAAAACACUUCUGGCCAAAGUAGUCUUACCUAGUCCUGGCAUACCUACAACAGAAAUGAUAUCCAACUGUUUUGAUCCACUUACAAGUUGAUCAAUUAUCUUCUUUGCCUCGUCAUUCAAACUCACCACAGCUUUGUUGAUUGCUGGCGUUCUACCCUGUGCUGGCAAAGAAUUGGAAGACCUGAUAGGUUUUUGGGAUGCCAAGCUACACCUAUUGUCACCAAUCUUCAAGGCCUCCAUCUUAAUAAAAUUAAUUUCUUCUGUGAGUGGACCAAAUAUCGUUGGAGAAUAAUCAGGAUCAUUUCCGACAACUAAGGAUUGAAUCAUAAGUUGUGCUUUGUACGCCACCUCUACAGCAUGACGGGAAAGAGCUUGAAGCUUUUCAUCCUGAUUACGUUCUUCCAGAUUAUUCUCCAACAAGGAUCUCAAGGAUAUAAGAUCAUCUAGUACUGUCUGAAUUUCAUUGCUUGCAAAAACAUUUGAAUCAACCUUACAACCUGGCAAAUCUUUGAGAUUUUGUAGAAAAAAGUUCAUAAAGCCAAGCUCAUCUGUCUUAGGAAAGAUAAGUGCUGAUGUUACUACCUUGAUAAGCUUAAUAUUUCCCAGCAGGUUGACAAGUGCAGAAUCCAUUUCCUUGGCCAAGCCUUCUUUCAAUCCUUGCACAAAUAGUGAGCAAAUUACGAUCCCUGCCUCACUGACAGCAGCUCGAAUGAGAUCCUUAACUUUGUUAGGCAACUUCCCAAAGUACUUCUUGAGAAUGGUUCUCAAGAAUCUGAGCCCCUCAUAGAGAAUUGGCAUUUGAUCCUCCAAAGAAACCACACAAGUAAUACUGUGCGUCAGUCCUUCCCAAAUCCGAUAUAGGAGGGAAUCAACAAAAUCCCCUAGUAUAUGCUCUUCUAUCUCCAAUGUCCGAGCAUGUGGCGAUCCAGAUAGCAAGACUUGGAUGUAUGUCUCACGGAUUUGUGGAUCAACAGCCGCCAUCUUUUGUAGCAGCUCAGAAAAGAUCAACCGCAUUUUAUCAUCCCGUGCUUCUUUAUCAUCAUAUGGGUAAAACACCCACAUGUGGAAGACUCUUGCUGCUGCAUCGAUAGCCACAACUUGUAAACGCAUGAAGAGAACUUCCAACUGCCCAUACUCAAAGCCUCGCCAUUCUGCAAAGCGAAUGAAGUUCUUCAAGAAAGCCACCUUCUCUUUGAGGGCUUCGAGUAAAUCUCGCACAUCUUGGUCAUCAACAUUUACCCAAGUUUGGACAUCCUCUAUAUUCACUAGCAGGAAGUCGAUGAAAUCCAUAAUUUUUGGGCCCCAGCUGGAAUGGUUUUGCAAUGAAUUGUAGUAAUCCAACAAAUUGAUAUAGGAUCGGCUGAUUUCUUGCCUCAAAUUGUAGAUGCAAGUGGUUCUUAUUUCGCCAACCUUGUGAUCAAACUUGGACUUCCAAUCGAAAGUCCCUUCUUCCUCUCCUCCAAGACCAUAAAAGUACUUAUCUUUUCCCUUCAAGAGAUUGAAAGAGGCUUUGCUGCCCAUCCCCAUGAAACCUUGACCAUAGCUGAAUCGUUCUUUUCCCAUAUAAGAACGAUUAUACGAGUACGGUCCCUGUUUCAAGGGGAAGAACUGUUCCUGUUUCAGGCGGAUCAAAUGGGAAUUCAAACCCAGUUUGCGGAAUCUUUCUUCACUAAGACAAUCAUUAUACAAGUCCAGAAUUUUUUUCUCUACUGCAGGUUCAAGGCUAGUCAAGAAAGAUGCCAGAUUAUUGUUGUUACCAGGUUUGGAAUACAGAUCGUAGUUCCACUCUCUUGCACACCAAAAGAGGGUUCUCAGAAGUCUCAACUCCGCCUUCAGGUCCAACACCCUGUUAUAUUGUACACCAAAAUCUUUCACCAGCAACUCUAGAUCACGCAAGACUGUAGCAAUGAUAUCAGAGGCCAUCUCUGUCUCUUUCAGAUCAGAUCCCUCGGCUCUUCAGCAGCAAUAGAGAAAACUGAAAUGAAAACUUGAACAGCUAAAGCUAAUGCUGGCUAUUCCACUCUGCCAAUGGAGUAUUCAGUCAAAUUCCAUAGGAAAAGAGAUAGGUUUUGUGGCAAGUUUCGGCUUUUGCAAUGAACAGAAAUAAUUGUAGUAACUUAAUACUCCCAGAAUGGACAAAGUGGCCGGCUUUCGCAAGUUCCGGUUAUUGCUAAAGAUUCCACACCCGAAAUGGACACCAUAAUAAUGGUGGUAACUAAAAUUUCCCGUUCAUCGAGGGGGCGCCACAUUUUUCAUUUUAAAACAUUUAAAAUAUUUGUCAGGCUGAAAAGAUCAAAAUAUAUUUUAAUUUUAAUUUUUAAUAUAAUCUUUCUUUUUAAUCAUAUCCAUGCUAUUCAUUCAACUUUUAAUUUUAAAUUUAUAAAAAUAAAAUUAAAAAAAAUGUAAACAUCAUAAUUAAAUUAUUAUUUUUAAAAUGUUAAAUUCUUAAAAUAUAACUGAAUAAUCGAAACGGAGGGAGUAAUUGCAAUACUGCACUGCAUCAAUCAAGCUUGACUUUUCUUAAGGUGAUUGGAGCCCUACGUUACUAUUUCUUGAUGCUUUUUUGACAGGUGGAUGGGAGACCAAAUGCUAGAUUUUGGUGGGGUAAGGGAGAAAAGGAAAACGCUGUACACUGGACAAGUUGGAAGAGAAUCUCUGAACUAAAAGGAAAAUGAGGGUUGGGAUUUAGGGAUUUAGUGGCUUUCAACACAGCCCUGCUUGCAAAAAAAAAUUGGAGAUUCAGAACAUUUCCAAAUUUGUUAGCAAGCACGGUAAUGACAGCUAAAUAGUAGCUGUGUUUUCAAAUUCGGAUCGGAUCGGUCGGUCCGACCAGUUGAACCGAGAAUCGGUCAAGUGUUCGGUCCGAGUUGGUCAUCAGAACCGAGAGAUUUAAAACCCGGUCAACUCCGGUCAAAAACCGGGUUUGACCGGUAUAGAACCAGAAAAACCGGUCCAACUGGAGAUUUUGUAAAAAAAGUUUAAAUUUUUUUAAUAUUAUGUUUUAACCCCCUAAAUUGUGAAAACUUAUUAAUAUACCUCAAAUAUUUUAUACUUUAUAAAUAUUGUCCUAAAAUUUGAUGUUAUUUUUCAAUUAAAUCCAUAAUUUUAAUUCUAAACUUGUUAAUGUUUAUUAAAUAAUAUAAAUUGUUACUUGAUUGUUCUAAUUUCUUUGUAUUUUCUUGUUAAAUAUAUUUGAAACAUCAAAUAUAUAUAAAUAUACCUUUAUUAAUAUCAAUAUGUUAUUAGAUAUUUUAUAUACAAUAAUUUAAUUUUUAAAUAAUUUUUAUUUAUGACGUCAUCCGGUUCGACCCCUAUCGACCCCCGGUCGAACCCAUUGACCCCUGACCCCUGACCUCAGCCGAGUCGAUAUCCGGUCCGGUUCUGAAAACAUAGCUAAAUACAUUAGAGAUCCAAGCUGGUUGGAGAAGGAACCCCCAAAGACAGCAUCAUGGUGCUGGAAAAGCAUCCACAGUGCAAGGAAACUACUGCUUGAAGGAUUAUGGAAAAGAAUUGGUGAUGGAACAAAUGUAAACAUUUGGAAGGAUAAGUGGGUAAUGGGAUCAGAAAUGGGUAUAGUGACCACAAAAAGACCUGCAAAUUGUCAUUUAGAAUAUGUAAGUGAUUUGAUAGAGGAUGGCAGAUGGAAAAGGAGACAAUACUGCAACUGUUCUGCGAAAAGAAGGCAGAGCUGAUAGAAAACAUCCCUCUUAGCCUGCACAGAAGGAUGGACAGAUCAUUCUAGAGAUUUUCCAAAACUGGAGUGUAUACCGUCAAAUCUGGAUAUGCAAUGGCUAAAGAGGAGGAAGACCAGCAUAAGAAAACGAAGGGGAUGAAUGCUGAAACUAGUAGGGAGAUUAGGAAGCACAGCGUUUGGAAGAGGCUAUGGGGACUCAACAUAAAGGCAAAAUUGAAGCACUUCAUCUGGAAAUGCCUGCAAAACUGUAUCCUUGUUAUGAGGUGACCUUUAGAAGAAUAGGAAAGCGAGAUGCAAGAUGUGAUUGCUGUGGACAAAAUUUGAAACUAUAGAACAUAUGUUUUUCUUUUGUGCAAAUGCUGAGCUAGUUUGGAAAUUGGCCCCAGUUAAAUGGGGGGACUAAAAGAGCAACAACACUUGUGGAAAUGGUGGGAAAUGGUAAUGCAAGCAAGCUCAAUGGACCAUGGACAAGACAGGAUUAACAUCACAAUCAGCAUAUUAUGGCAAAUCUGGAAAGCUCGGAACAAAAAGGUGUUUGAAAGAAUCAAUCCAAACUCAAACAAAAUUGUGAAGAAGGCACAAGAAGAAUGGAUAGAGUAUGAACUGACAAAGGAAACUGAAAGGGAAGAACCAGGCAAUGCUGCUAUGUCGCAACAACAACAACAAAGCAGGAGAAAAAUAUCAAAGGAAGGAGUGAUCAAGUUGCAUAUUGAUGCAGCAAUAUCUGCAAGAAUGAUAAGAACGAGGCAAGGCAUAAUAGCAAGGAACUGGAUAGGAGAAAUUGUGAAGGCAAAAGGGAUAGUACAUCAAAGAAAGAGUGAAGCCAGCAUGGUGGAAGCACUAGCUAUGAGAAAUGCAUUAGUGAUGGCCAAAGAUGCAGGGUGGACCAAGAUAGAGGUCUACACAGACUGCAAAUCAGUGGUGGAUCAAAUCAACACAUGCAAUGUAAAUAACUACAACAUUGCAACCAUUUUGGAAGAUAUUCAGGAAUUAAGGCAAUGGUUUCAAAGCUGCAGCUUUUCUUUUGUGCAUAGAGCAGAAAAUAGAUGCAGCCAUGAACUAGCUCAAUUUGCAGUACAGUUAGUCCAGGACAUAGAAUAAGAAUGUGAUUUCCCAGUAUUGCUGCUAGAAUUAGCAAGAAAGGAAAUGAGGGCAGUGUCCCCUUUUGUUAUUAAAUUUUGUAAUAUCAAGUUUAAUAUAUAAAAAGCUGUUAAUGUUUGUUGGAAAAAAGAUAGGACCAAAUGCUGUACACUUCUUGCAGAGAAUCAAAUAGUAAACUAUUUUGCUGUCGCUUCACAUAUGCAAAAAUAUAUAUAUACACUAGAGUCAAUGUACAAGAUACACAGGGAUUUGGUCUUUGGUUCUCUUGCGAAUGCCAAGUAACGCCCAUGCAAUAGGGUUGCGAACGAAUCAAGUCAAAUCGAAUUUUGGUCUAAUCAAGUUCAUUCUCGACUUGAUUUUAUCAAACUCGAAUUCGAUCUCGAACUCGACAAGCUCUCAAUAUAAAGUUCGAAUUAGAGAUCGACCUCAAAUUUGAACCGAGUCGAGCUCGAGCUCGAAAUUAAAAAAAUAAAAAAUAAUUAUUUUUUAUUUUUUUUAAAUGGAUAAAAUAGUAAAUUUUCUUAACAAAUAAUAAAAUAUUAGAAAUUUAUAUGUAAUUUCAUUAUUAAAAUAAAAAUAAAUAUGUGUGUGUGUAUGUAUAUAUGUGAUCGAACCGAUUUAUAAGUUGAGUAUCUUUGAACUCAAAUUUAAAUUCGAACUCGACUUGAUCGACUCGAAUUCGGUGUUGACCAGUCGAAUUGAGUUUUAACUCAAACUGCUUCUCGCUCGACUCGUAUGCGGCCCUACUGUGCAAUGGACAAUCCAAGAUCAGGUAAACCAGACUCGACUCAUCUCCACUAUUGAUUUCAAAAUCAGUUGAUUUUAAAAUAACGGAUUCUUUGUGCUUCAAAAAACAGAGGGUUAUCUAAAUGAAAAGAAUAACGGAAGAAGAAAACAGCAAGUAAGUAUUAGAAAUCACAAAAAAUUUUCACAAUGAUACAAAAGUUGAGGAAGGUUAACGUACAUUAUCCUUUUAAUAGUAAAAUUGCAAUUUUACAUAAAGUAUGGAAUCUUGUGUUGCAAUGAUAUUCCAUAUCCGGAUAAAUAAACCGUGCCAUGUCAAAUACACCUCAUGCGAUAUUAUUACUAUUAGGGGAUUUUGAGCACAUCAUUGUGGAGAAAAAAAUGUACAAGUCAUCACUAUCAAAUAUAAGAGCAAAAUACAUGGUAAUCAUGUUGGUUACCUCUACCUAAAUCUGGGCCAACCUAUGAAACUGUCCGUGACGAUCAAAACGUGCAAGUCUUCCUCAAACAAAAAUCUGGAAAUCCUCAUUUCCAGAGUCUUUUUGCUCUUCCUCAAUCUCCCAAACUGAACGUACAGCCGAAUCUGAACAGCCGUGUACAUCAAUCAUUUCAAGAGUUGAAACUUCCCCAAAACAAGAAGGGACUUCUUUCAGUCUCCAGCAUCGAACCAAGACUAGUUUCCGUAGACGCGGGAACUGAUCAGAUGAGCAUUUCCAUCGAAAUAUACGCAACUGUUCCAGUUUCAAGUACUUGAGCCGAGGAAACUCAAAUCCUUCCAUGUCCCAUGUAUCCUGCCGAGAGAUUUCAUGACCUAAUUUGAACACCUCAAGGUUGCAUAGUUUCCCAAUCAUUGGAAUUUCACUCCAAUGGAAAUAUAAGAGACUUAACUUCUUUAGACUGAUCAACGGAAAACGAAACUCAAGAGUGUACCUCCUGCGCUGAUCCAGCAUGAGCUUGAGCGAUUCCAAUUGGCUCAGAAAAUCCAUUGCCACAAUCUUAUUACAAUCUCCAUUAUAUUCCUCAGAUUUGAAGAGCUUGCAUUUUAGUCUGCGGAUGUUUGGGAAUUUUUCUAAUAUCCUUUCGCUUUGUACCGAACUAAGAAACAAAACAGAAAUGCUGUCUAAAUUAUGUAAACUCCCCAGGUUCUCUUCAGCCAAAUUAAAAGUAAAACCAUUUCUUGCGUCUAGUCGCCUCAAUUUCUUCAAAUUCCAUAUAGUAUCUGGCAGUAGGACAUUUCUGUCUGCUUGGACGAUAAAAGUUUCUAAAUAUGAGAGAUUGCCUACUGAUGAAGGGAUGGAAUUGGCUGAAAGAUGAAUUGCCAAGUACCUCAGCUCAGAAAGCAACCCUAUUUUACUUGGAAGUUCACCAUGUAGACAAAAUUGUUCCAAGUCCAAGACUCUCAGACGUUUGAAAAAGACAAAUAGGAAUUUAGGAAAACCACUUCGGACCAUCUCAUCCUCCUGAGCAUAGAACAUCAGAGAGUUCGCACGGGUUGAGCAUAGCCUUGAGUACGCAAAAAUAUCCUGCCCUGAAAAAAUGCAUAACCUUCUCAGAUUGCGUGGCUCAUCAAAGGUGAAAAGCUUAUCAUCUCCAUGUAAAAACUGCAGAAAAUUUUCUUUCUGGGCUUUUACCAAACAAAACUCGUGCAACAAAUCAUGAAUGCGGCAAGUUCUAACACCACCUAGGGAUCUUUCUUUGGAAACCAUAACCAAGCUUCUGCUUAUGAGUUCAUAUAUGUACUCCUCAGCUACAUCCUCCAAGCUCUUUAUCACACUUUUCUGGACAAAUCCUUCAGCGAUCCAUAAACUCAUCAACCUCCAAGAGGGAAUCUCUGUGUCUUCGGGAAAUGCUGCGAAGUAGAGAAAGCAUGGUUUUAGAUAUUCAGGUAAAUGCCGGUAACUCAGCUCUAAUACAUUCAUGCAAUGAUCUGUAGCACAAACAGCACUUAAUCUUAGUCUUUCCACGAUCUCUAUCCAGCCAUCUUUCUCCAGUUUAGCAAGAAUUCCAGCUACCGUAACAAUUGUGAGAGGUAGUCCCUGACAAUGUUUGGCUAUCUGCAUCCCUAGAUCACUGUGCGCUGAAGGAUAGCCUUCUUCUUCAGGUAGCUUCUUCUGCAGUAAUUCCCAGCUCUCCUUAUCAGUAAGUCGUUGAAGAUGGUGAAUUGUAACAUUUUCGUUGAUUUCUAGAGCCACCAUAGGAAGUCGACUGGUUAAGAGGAUUUUACUUCCAUUGGCAUUAUCUGGGAAAGAUCUUUCCAACGUAUUCCAGACCUCACUACUCCACACAUCAUCAAGAACAAUGAGAUACCUAUUUUUCAUCAAACGCUGCCUUAGCUUUUGUUCCAUCUCAUCUUCAGUCUUCUUUGAAUAUUCAUCACCACAGUGGUGUUUUUUUCUUUGUAGCUGAUCAUCAAAAAGGUCAGGAUCCAUACAACUCAAAAUCUGAAGCAGCAAAUCCUUUUGCUGAUAGAGUUGAGAAACAGUACACCAUGCACGGACAUGAAAAAAGCAUCUAAUUGAAAGAUCAUUAUAAACAUUUUGGGCCAAAGUCGUUUUACCUAUUCCAGGCAUACCAACAAUGGAAACAAACCCCAACUGCUUAUGUCCUCUUGUAAGUUUGUGAAUUAUUCUGGCUUCAUCUUCCAACCUCACCCGAACUUUGUUGGUUGUCCUGCUCACACUAUGGGCUUCCAACCUAUACUUAUUGUCACAAACCUUCAUGGCUUCAAUCUUAGCAAGAUUAAUCUCUUUAAGCUCUUCCCUGAUGGAAUCAAAUAUGAUUGGAGACCAAAAAUCUGGAAAGUCUCCAAUGAACAAGGAUUUAACCGUCAGCUGUGUCUUGUGCGCCACCUCCAUGACCGGUCUCCGAAGGGCUUGGUUGCUCUGGUCCACACUGAUCUCCAAGAAAGAUCUUACUGAUACAAGAUCUUCUCGGAUAGUUUGAAUUUGAUCCUUUGGAAAAGCAAUUGAACCAACCUCACAACUCGGCAGCUCUUUCAGCUUUUCAAGGAGAAAAUCCAUAAAACCAAGCUCAUUGUUUCUUGAAAAGAUGAAUGUCGAUGUAACUACUUUUACAAGCUUAAUCUUUCCCAUGAAGUUGAAAAGUGACAAAUCGAAUUCCUUGGCCAAGAUAUUUUUCAAGUUGUGCAAAACAAGUAUGUAAAUCAUGAUUACUGCUUCUUUGACCGCAGCUCGAAUGAGAUCCAAGAUUUCUUUCAAGUCGUGCAAAAAAAGUAGGCAAAUUAUGAUUCCUGCUUCGUUGACCGCAGCUCGAAUGAGAUCCUUCUCUUUUUCAUGAAGCUCAUCAAACUUCUCCGGGUACUUCAUAAGAAUGGUUUCCAAGAAUCUUAGUCCCUUAUAGAGCAGUGGUAUUUGCUCCUCAAAACAGAUAAUCAACACGGCAUCACGAUUUAGUAGCUUAUCAAGACUGUCCAGGAGAAAAUGAACAUGGCCCUCCAAUCGAUCCUUGUUGGUCUCCAGAAUGUUGGAUGAUCUUUUCCAGUGUGUAGCUGUCAAGACUUUGAUGUAACUCUCACGGAUCUGGGGUUCAAAAAACACGAAUUUUGCCAGCACCCCAGAAAUCUUUGUUUUCAUUUCGUCACGCACGAUCGCAUCCCUUUUGCGACCCGUGGAAAUGAAAAAGACGCUUGCCGCUGCAUUGACUGCCACAAGUUCCAAAUGAGUCAAGAGAACCUUCAACUGCUUGUGCUGAAACCCUUUCAAUUCUGCAAAGUGAAUGAAUCGUUUGAAGAAUUCCAGCUUCUCUUUAAAGCUUGAGAUCAGAGCUCGCAAGUGGACAUCGCCCAAGUCGUCCAAGUCGACAAGAUCUUCCAUAUUUGCUAACAGCGAGUCAAUGAAUUCCAUAAGUUCGUCUCUGGAUUGCAAGGAGUAACCCACCGCAGUGAUGCUGGAAUAGGAUUCGCUGAUUUUUUGUGUGAAAGACCAUAAGCUUCCCCGAAAAUCUUCCGCCAUCCCAAUAAAAUAAGCUUUCAUGUGAGAUUGUGGAUAGAAUCGUUCCUCUACUCCAAAACGAAUGAAGUCCAACUCCUUUCCUAUUCGGUCAACUGCAUCUUCAAGGCUAUGCAACAGAGAUCCAAGACUUGCAUUUUCAUCUGAUUUAAAGUAGAGAAAUAUGCUACGCAUGAAAGAUCCAAGAGAUUCCCAACUGAUCAAACGAUUGCUGCUCCUAGCACACAAAACAAAUGUUCUCAGAAGUCUUAGAUCCAUCCUCAGCCCCGUCCACAGAUGAGAUUCUACGUCCAGAUCUUUUGCCAGAUGCUCUAGAGCAUUUAAGACUAUAUCAACGAAAGCACAGCCCAUCUUUGAUUCUUUCUAUCCUCUGCAGCAAUGGAAGACACUUGAAACUUUACCUCUUUUUUUCAACUUCAGUGAACACGAACUCCAGGAACUAAUCCAUGCUAUUCUCAGCGGUUCUUGUCUCAAUAUUUCGGUAAACCCCUUCCUACAAUGAAUGGAACAAGAUCUCUCUCUUCCCUUCUCUCUCUCUCUCUCUCUCUCUCUCUCUCACUUUUUUUUUUUUUUUUUGUACACAGGUGCAACUGUAGAGCGACUCUAUGGCCGCAGGGGAAAGGUCGUUUAUACGCUCAACAACACACGGUGGUGUUUGGAAUUGUACCCAAAAAAUUUUACAUUUUUUUUAAAUUUUUUACAUGUAUUAAAUUGUUAUAGUAUAUUUUUUUCAUACAAAUUUCAAAAAAUUACAAUUCAAAUGGAAUGGAACCCUCCUCUUUUGGUAAAAAGAAAAAAGGAGCAUUUGCACAAGGGAAAAAUCAUUUAAAAUUUAGUCUCAAUCUAAAUUUUUUAUCAUUUUUUACUCUAAAUGAUCAAUUUUUUUUAAGAGCAAAAGGAUUAAAUCUCAUUUAUAACCAAACAAACAACUGGAUCCAUUAUUCAAUUUUGCUCUCUAAAGAAGUAGAAUUUGACUCUUACCAUAUUCAUUUUUAACCCAAAAAAAAAAAAAAGAAAUCGGAUCAAAAUUAUAUUAAUCUUUGUCACUACAAAAGCAAGAUCUGACAUUUAUAUACAUAAAAAAUGAUAACAUGUGAAUCAUUUUGUGAUUUCAACUAAAAAGAAAUUAAAAAUUUAGGUUAGAACCAAAUUUUACUUAUUUAAAUUUAUAAGAAAUAUAAAAUUAAUAUUUUAAAAAUAAAAAACAAAAAAAUUUAUUUAACAAAAUGUCAUGAUGGUUGUUUUGAAUGGUUUCCUUUUCCAAAAUGUGCCCGCAAACAUAUAUUAUAAUCGCUAUUACUUUCUACUACCAAAUGACUCUCUUAACAUUUCGAAGUUUCCAAAUAACCCCACAUAAUUUUAUAUAAAGGGAAAACUUGACUAAAAGCAGCUUCCUAUUAGUUGAAAUGCUAGUGUUAACCAAAUGAGAACUAAAUAGAUAUGUAUGUUAAACUAUAUGGAAUUAAGUGGAUAUUAUAGACCACUUGGCUUCUUAUCUUUCUGAGCAAAGAAAAGUAGAGAGCUCACAUUGGUACAACAUAGCCUUGAGUUUGCAAAAACAUCUUGCUCCGAGAAAAGGCAUGGCCUCUGUAGAUUUCAUGGCUCAUCAAAGGUGAAAAGCUCAUCAUGCCCAUGCAGAGAAACUGCAGAAAAUUUUCUUUUCUGGCUUUUACCACACAGAACUCAUGCAACAAAUCAUGUAUGUGGCAAAUUCUUACACCUCCUAGGGAUCUUUCUUUCCAGACCAUAACCAAGCUUCUCCUUAUCAGUUCACACACAUAAUCCUGAGCCACAUCUUCUAAGCUCUUUACAUCACUUUUUUCCACAAGCCCUUCAGCGAUCCAUAAACUCAUCAACCUCCGAAAAGGAAUCUCUUGGUCUUCAAGAAAUGUCCCAAAAUAAAGAAAGCACGGCUUUAGAUAAUCAGGUAAAUGCCCAUAACCAGCUCUAAAACAUCCAUACACUGAUCGGUGGCACAAACAGCAGCGCUUAAACUCAGUCUUUCUGCAAUCUCUUUCCAACCAUCUUGCUUCAGAUUUGCAAGAAUUCCAGCUACUGUUAACAACUUUGAGUGGUAGCCCCUGACAAUGUUUUGCCAUUUGCAUCCCCAGAUCACUCUGUGCUAAAGGAUAGCCUUCUUCUUCACAAGCUAUCUGUUUCUGCAGUAAUUCCCAGCUCUCCUUAUCAGUAACUCCUCGAAGAUGGUGAAUUUUACCAUUCUGGUUAAUCUCAAAAGCCACCUUAGGAAGUCGACUUGUUAAAAGGAUUCUACUGCCAUUGGCAUUAUCAGGGGAAGAUCAUUGCAAGCCACUCCAGGCCUCGCUAUUCCACACAUCAUCCAAAACAAUGAGAUAUGUAAUUCUCAUCAAACUUUGUCUUAGCUUUUUCUUCCAACUCAUCUUGAGUCAUCUUACUAUAGUCACCAUCAGAAGGGUCAGAAUUCAUACAACCCAAAAUCUGAAGCAGUAAAUUUUUCUGUUGAUGAAUUUUAGAAACAUUACACCAUGCACGUGCAUGAAAAAAGCGUCUGACUGAAUGAUCAUUGUAAACAUUUCUUGCCAAAGUUGUCUUACCUAGUCCCGCCAUACCCACAAUAGAAACAACGUCUAACUGCUUUGGUCCUCUGGUAAGUUUCUGAGUUACUGUGGUUACCUCAGCGUCCAAUUUCACCACAAUUUUGUUGGUUGUCCUGCUUGCACUAUGGGUUUCCAAUCUUAACUUACUAUGACUAAUCUUCAAAGCUUCCAUCUUAAGAAGAUUAACCUCAUUAACUUCUUCUCUGAUGGAAUCAAACAGGAUUGGAGAAUAACCAGGAAUAUCUCCAACAAACAAGGAUUUUACCAAAAAUGUGUCUUCCGUGCCACCUCCAUGACACAGCUCCAAAGAGCUUGGUUGCACUGGUCCGUACUAUUCUCAUAGAAAGAUCCUAAUAAUGCAAGAUCUUCUUGGAUGUCUUGAAUUUGAUCCUCUGCACAAGCAAUUGAAUCAACCUCACAACUUGGCAGAUCCUUCAGAUUUUCUGAGAGAAAGUCCAUAAAACCAAGUUCGUUGGUGCUGGGAAAGAUGAAUGUUGACGUUGAAACUUUAACAAGCUGAAUCUUUCCUCAAAAUUGAAAAGCGCAGAAUCAAAUUCCUUCGCCAAGCCUUCUUUCAAUUCGUGCACAAAAAGCAGCCAAAUUAUGAUCCCUGCCUUGUUGACUGCAGCUCCAAUAAGAUCCUUUUCUUUUUCAUGUAGCUUAUCAAACUUCUCCUGGUGCUUCUUAAGAAUGGUUCUCAAGAAUCCUAGUCCCUUAUACAGGGGUGGUAUUUGAUCCUUCAAAUAGAACAUCAGAUCGUUACCACGAUUUACUAGGUCGCUAAGAUUGUCAAGAAGAAAACAUACAUAGUCCUCCAAUACAUCCUUACCCAUCUCCAGAGUGUCUGAUAAUCUUGGCACGUGUGAAGCCAUCAAGACUUGGACGUAACCCUCAUGGAGUUGGCAGUCAACAGACACGAUCAUUUGCAGCAGUUCAGAAGUCUUAUUCUGCAUUUCAUCGCACACUGUCUCAUCCUCUGUGCUAGCUUGAUACAUGCAAAAUACUCCUGCUGCUGCAUUGACAGAGGCAGCUUCCAAAUGAGUCAAGAGAAUUUCCAACUGCUUCUUCUCAAAUCCUCGCAAUUCUGCGAACUGAGUAAAUCAUUUGAAGAAUGUCAACUUCUCUUCUAGACCUCUAAUCAGAUUUCUCAAACUCUGAUCAUAAACAUCUCCCCAGUAGAUUAGAUCCACCACAUUUACUAUAGGGUGUAGAUGAAUCCCAUAAGCCUGUCCCAGGAUUGCACCGAGCAGUCCAACACAGUGAUGUAGGAAUCAGAUUCAUUGAUCUUUUGGUUAACAGACCCCAUGCUUCCCUUAAAAUCAUAGAUUAUGUCCUGUAAAUCCCAUUUCAAUUCAGUGAGAGAAGAGAAUCCUUAGUCUACUCUAAGACGAAAGGAGUAAAAGACUUCUCCAUUUUUGUGGACUGCUUAUGCAAUACUGUGCAACAAAGAUCCCAGACUUGCAUUUUCAUCAGAGUUGCAACUGUGGUCGUUGCUGCUCCAGUACGUCCUAGCACACGAGACGAAUGUUCGCUGAAUUCUUAGCUACAUCUUCAGGCUCGUCAACCGACAAUCAUCUACAUACAGAUCUUUCGCCAGCAUCUCUAGAGCAUUCAAGACUUCAUCAAUGGAAUCAAAAUCCAUCUUUCUGAGGUUCCACUGCAGCAAUGGAAGAUUUUUUAUUUUUUUUUUUUUGGUUGCUUUUACGGAUAAACUUUCGAACUUCAGUUGAACAAGAACUGUUCUAAGUAUUCUAUGCUGCUGAAAAUCAAUUGUUUUUCUUUUUUUUUUUUUUUUUGGUUUUGCAGAAAAACUUUGAACUCCAUUUGAACAAGAACUAUAGAAUGUAUCCUAUGCUGCUGUUUUUGGGUGCUUUUACUUUAAAAUUGAACUGCAAUUGAGCAAGAACUGCAGGAAGCCUGCCAUGCUGCAGGAAAUGAGGUGAUUCUUACUUCUCUUACUUCUAUGAAUAUUUUGGUCAACCCUCUCUUUUUCUUAGUGAAAUUAUGAGUAGAAUGAAACAAGAUCCGCCAAUUCAGGCAGCCAUGUUAAACAACCAGGGAAAUCAUUAAUGGACCAAAAAAAAAUUUGUUCUCAAGUCUCAUUUCCAUCUUUCCACCGAUAACACUAUUUGACCAGAGCAUUAAUUUCUCAAGUUUUUUUUAUUAAGUAGUCCUCAACUUGACUCAAUGAUGCAGCAUUUUUCAUUAAACUAAUGAAUGAAGCAAUCUCUAAGCUUUAAUAAAGAAAGGAAAACAACUUCGUUAUCUCUUGUAUCAAUUCUAUCCUACGUACCGUCAUCUCUUGUAUCAACCUGUAUUCCACCCUUUUAUUUUCUUGCAGGUAUUCACGGUAUAUCAAAAUAUAUGGAAAGUGAAAAUACAGGUACUAAACAAAAUGUUGAAUAGAAUUGGGAUUUGACACAUGAAGAUAAGGAUGCAAAGCCAAAGAGAACUGACUCAUGGGAGGCCAAUUUGAGGUGCUAGAAAGAGCAAUAAAGCUCAAACCAUGAAUGAGAAGGGGGAAGAUAACUGUAAGAAGUAGAAAUGCAAGAAUCAUGGGGAGAAAGGUGGGGAGGGCAAUACCGUUAAUCACUACCAUGGUCGUCUAUUCGCCCUUAAUCUUGUACAUUUGUCUCAAAUGUAUCUCAAGAAUAUAUGUAUUAACCAACCAAUAUCAUCACAUGAUAUUGAUGUACUUAACUAACCUUUAUUUCCCAGGUAAUCUUACGAAUUUUAGAGCACAAACAUGUACCAAAAGAGAAAUUUGUUGAGGAAAAUAACUAAAUCACAGCGAGCUAAACGUUCAAGAGAAAAUGCGCCUAAUAAUCUCUCCUUUGGUUUUUUGGUUUAUCUUUUAGACACUCUUUCUUCUGAUGUAGAUGGGAUGUGAAGGACCAAUUUAUUGGUGGUAUUGAUAGGGUGUUAAUUGUUAGUAAUUUUAUUAUUAAUUUUUCUUUUUACCGUUGCCAAAUAUUGCUUUAAUUUGCUUUAAUUGUCAAUAUAUAUUUAUAUUUAGUAUUUAAAUAUAAUUUCAGAAAUUGGAGCAGAAACCUCUUGAGAAGAUUAUUGUAAAGCUUUACACAAUUCCGGUGCAAACCAACGAAGAAGAAUGGAAUUGCAUUUGGGAAUUCAAUUUGGCUAGACAACAUAUCAAAGUUGGUGGGGACCGCAAAUAAGUUGUAUUGUCUAAAGUUUGCUUUCUUUGCACAUUUGUGGUUUUGCUUUCUUGUUGGUGAACGUGUGCACUUGGUCAAAAAGAAAACCGACACUUGCUUUUGUUUUGAGUGGAGUUGAAUUGAUUGCGUAGAGAAAUGAUGACCUCUUUGGUGGACGUGGGGUCAUGUCUCCAUUUGGCUGGUUUUUUUAUGUAUGAAGACAUUAGACGUGAAAGGGAGCUAUUAGACUAGUUUUGAGUUUUCUCUCCAAAUAAGCUCCAUUGGAGGAUAGAGGUAGUUUUUGGUUUUCAGAGGAGGAGUUCUUCCUUCUCUUGUUGCGUGGUGUGCAACUUUUUUUCAAAGAGUCUACGGAGACUCAAGUUGCUUUCUAAAUUCUUAGUCAGUUAUUUAUGUAUUUGAUUCCAAUUAAAUUGCGUGGGAAUUUUAUCAUGAGACUUAACUAAUCUUCUCAUCUAGUCAAGGAUCAACGCGAAGACGCAGUCCCAAAUAUCUGUGAGAUCUAAUUAAUUUUACGUGUUUCUUAAUUUGUUAAUAUUUGCAUGUUUUCUAUUUUAAUUUUCAUGGGAUUAUUUUGUUAAUUGGAUAUCAAGGGCCCGAUGUGCAAUUUGACUUUUUAAUCUUCUGUCAAAUUAAUCAAUUAAAUCCGUAAUUGUUUAAUUGGUUAAUAUUAGUAGCAACUAGUAUUUUCACAUACUAGGGGAACAUGCAAUCUGAUUUAAAUAACCCUCGUAACGUGUUAUUAAUUUGGGUUAGGCUUUUCUAGUUUUUAAUGCAAUUAGGAAAUUAAUUCCUACGUUCGUACCUAGGAGUAUUUCCUGGUUAGGGGUAAUCAACGGUCGUACCUUGGUUAUCAAUAAAUUAAGGAAAAGCUGGUCGUUAGAGCUUAUCGGCGACUAUAACUAACCUGUUAAUAAAAUUAAGUGAACCUUCUUUGCAUCAAUGAUCGGAUGAAUGGACUGUGUCUGCGUAGUUGUAUCCUUGGUUAGAAUUUAUUUAUUAUUUAUUUAAUUGCUAUUUACAUUCCUAUUAAUUAAUUAUUUAUUUUUGGUUAAAUUGUUUAAUUAUUUUUAGUUUAUUUCUGAUAAAAAUCCCCCGUGAAAAGAAUCGAAUUUUUCCCAGUCUCUGUGGAUUCGACCCUAUUCACUACUAUACACAGAAAAUUUAUUUUUCUCGAAUAGAUAUUUAUUAUUGCACAGGCUCGACACCUGUCAGGUAUUGUGGACUUCUUCACCCUGGUGAAGCACUCUUGACUUCAGGUAUAAUAAGAACCAGUAAAUCACUAACCAUAGGCCUGGCAGCCAGCCGUUGUUUAAUGAGGUAAGAUGUUUUACUCUCUCGUGCUUUUAGGCUUUAAUUCCGGAAAUAUAUAUUCUUGGAUACAGAUUAUGCAAGUUAUGUGCACUUGUGCUUAACCUAGGUUACAAGAAGAGAGAUAUUAUCAGAACCAGGUUGAUGAAUUUAUCAGAACCAUACAACUGUGUUCUACUUAUCGAACAGACUACAAGAGCAAGUUCAAAAUAUCUGUUCUUACAACUUGGAUGCAACAUAGGAUGUCAUCAAUACUCAUUAAACUGUAAAGAAAAAGAACAAGUUGAUGCACUUGUUAGUCAGUCACUGACAAAAUGAGGAAAAACCAAUGAAAAUAUUGACACUGAUAAUUUCCUUUAGAGAUCAUUUCCUUCUCUUAGAUAAUUUUUUCCCGUGGAAAGGAAGAAAAUAGGAAUCAUGAUAAAAUUUCAUUGAAAAGUACAAUUAAUAGCUGUUACUGUGUCAUACCUACAAAAGUCUAUAGCAAAAAGUUUCAAAUUGUCAAAAGUAAUAAAUAAGUUGUAAAAUACAUUAAAUACAUGUAUGAAUAUGAUUUAAACCAUAUUAAAUAAUCUAGACGACAAUGUUAGAGCUCUAUAUAGAAGAAGAAAAAGAACCAUAUUCAUUUGUGUAUUAACGCAAACAAGUUUGCAAGAUUUAAAACUGAUAAAACAAACCCUACAGUGUCUCAGUAUUUGAGUGUUAAGACCUACCCUUCAGUAUUUUUACCUUGGCAAACAGUCUUGGAGAUUUAUAUAGGACUAACAUUUAGAGUUUUUGUUAGUCUUAUUAAAUUUUAAUUAUAAUAGUUCAUGCAAAUUAUAAAAUAUGAAAAUCAGUGGCACAAAAAAUCAUUUUCAUUUUAGUCAAAGUGAGUAAAAUUUUACUUUUUGAAGGCUGGAAAUGACAUUCUUGAUUGAAAUGGUGAAAGAAUGAACUUAACUUGCAAUUUGGCAUUUCUCUCUCUUCUUUACUAGCACUUAAAUAGAAAGGUCUUCUUGAAUUUUGUUCAUCAAUCUCUUGGGUUAUUAAGGAUUACAAUCUACCAUUUUUUAAUUUAGUUAGUUAAGGCUUUGAUUGAUGCACUAUGUUCUUAAUCACUGAUCAUAUUUUUUCCUUUGAAGAAAAAGAAAAAUACUAAAACUAUAUUUAAAAAUAGAAAGCACAAACUUUUAUUGUUAGGAAAAGUGAAGUAAGAAAAAAUAAGGAAAAAAAACUGAUAGCCUGGUAGGAGCUACAAAGAUAAUGCUUCAUUUCUUCAAAUUAAGUCACAUGAUGUUUUAGUUUCAAGAUUGAGACAAUAGAUGAUUAGUUGCAAUAGUGAAUAACUAAUUAGUCUCAAAGAGUUUUCAAAAAGUAUACAUUGAUCAAAUGGUUGAGGAAAAUCUAGAAACUAGAUGACCACAAAUAUUGAUGAGAAACUAUUCACAACAAAGAAUAAAUUUACAUGUACAAGUAACAUAACUUUGUCAAGGUAAUUAAACAUCUAGUAGAAAGAAACAAAAUAAGUUUUCAUCAGACGUUCUUCGUACUGCGUAUUACAUGAGAUAAAAUAAAAAAGAAUUUGAGCUUUGUGGUUAAUAUGAACUAAGACUUGAAACAAAUGUCAAAAUGUGUAUAUUCCAAAAUUAGAGGGAAAUGCAUUUCUAAAAGUCAAAAUAAAAUAUUUAUGAAUGCAAAUAACAUUUAUUAAUAUGGCGUUGUCACAUACAUUUAUUAUUGUAGUACUUUUUUGACGUAAUAUAUAUAGGAAAAAGGUAGUUAAAAAAGAUAAAAAUAUGAUUUGAGAACGUUUUUAUGAUGUAAUUAAAAUUUUAUUUUCAAAUAAUUACAUAUCCAAACAAUCCCAUAAUGUGCAUGCUUGCUUCAUCUUUAUAAAUUUUAUUAUGAAGGAAAUGUAUGAAAUUGAAACAAAUUAGAUAAAAAGAAGUUUACGCUUCCCGCGCAAUAUUUGGAACCAUAUUAUACUAAAAAAUGUGCGGAUUGAUUCUCUCUCAUAUGGAUAGUGAAUCAUUUAUUAGGUUACUAAUGUAUUAUAUUCUCAUUAAAAGCAAUAUAUUUCUAUAAUUCAUGUUAUCCACGACUAAACUAUACUAUAACCAAAAGAUAAACAUUUCAAAAGAAUAUGAACAAAUCCAAAAAAAACUAGGAUAGGAAAUAAUGAAAGAAAAAAAAUUUUAAUCAACCAUUAAAUAGUUUGCCUAAUUGAGGAUGCAAUUUAAGAAGUUUAUGAGUUUUAAAUUUUUUUAGCUUCCAAUCGUAUUACAUAAAUUUAAAAGUUAAACGAGUUUUGCGCAACAAUAUACACGUGCAAUGCACCUGCUCUUUCCUAGUGUGUGUAUGUGACUAUAUAGUGACUAUAUAUAUAUAUAAAUGUAUAUAUGUAUGUAUAGAUAAUCGUGUCAACUCACGAACUAAUAAGUUAAAUAUCUUUGAAUUCAAAUUCGAACUCGAGCUUGAACUCGAGCUACUACUUGCUCGACUCGUAUGCAGCCCUACCGUGCAACGGAUAGUUUGAGAUCAAGUAAACUAGACACCAACUCAUCUCCACUUCAUUUCAAAAUCUGUUGAUUUUAAAAUAAUGGAUUCUUUGUGCUUCAAAAAACAGAGGGUUAUCUAAAUGAAAAGAAUAACGGAAGAAGAAGACUGCAAAUAAGUACUAGAACUCACAAAAAUUUUUCACAAUGAUACAAAAGUUGAGGAAGGUUAACGUUCAUUAUCCUUUUAAUAGUAAAAUGGCAAUUUUACAUCAAGUAUGGUAUCUUGUAUUGCAAUGAUAUUCCAUAUCCGGAUAAAUAAACCGUGCCAUGUCAAAUAUACCUCAAGCGAUAUUAUUACUAUUAAGGGAUUUUGAACACAUCAUUGUGGAGAAAAAAAUGUACAAGUCAUCACUAUCAAAUAUAAGAGCAAAAUACAUGGUAAUCAUGUUGGUUACCUCUACCUAAAUCUGGGCCAACCUAUGAAACUGUCCGUGGUGAUCAAAGCACACAAGUAGAUUACGUAUUGGUUCUUCCUCAAACAAAAAUCUGGAAAUCCUCAUUUCCAGAGUCUUUUUGCUCUUCCUCAAUCUCCCAAAGUGAACUUACAACCGAAUCUGAACAGCCGUGCACCUCAAUCAUUUCAAGAGUUGAAACUUCCCCAAAACAAGAAGGGACUUCUUUCAGUCUCCAGCAUUGAACCAAGACUAAUUUCCGCAGACGCGGGAACUGAUCAGAUGAGCAUUUCCAUCGAGAUAUACGCAACUGUUCCAGUUUCAAGUAUUUGAGCUGAGGAAACUCAAAUCCUUCCAGGUCCCAUGUGCCCUGCGGAGAGACUUCACGAUCUAAUUUGAUCACCUCAAGACUGCACAGUUUCCCAAUCAAUGGAAUUUCACUCCAAUGGAAAUAUGACAGACUCAACUUCUUUAGACUCAUCAACUGAAAACGAAACUCAAGAUGGUACCUUCUCGGGUGAUCCAGCAUGAGCUUGAGCGAUUCCAAUUGGCUCAGAAAGCCCAUUGCCACAAUCUUAUUACAAUCUCCAUUAUAUUCCUCAGAUUUGAAGAGCCUGCAUUUUAGUCUGCGGAUGUUUGGGAAUUUUUCCAAUAUCUUUUCGCUUUGUACUGAACUAAGAACCAGAACAGAAAUGCUGUCUAAAUUAUGUAAACUCCCCAGGUUCUCUUCAGCCCAGUUAAAAGUAAAACCAUUUCUUGCGUCUAGUCGCCUCAAUUUCUUCAAAUUCCAUAUAGUAUCUGGCAGUAGGACAUUUCCGCCUGCUUGGACGAUAAAAGUUUCUAAAUGUGAGAGAUUGCCUACUGAUGAAGGAAUGGAGUUGGCUGAAAGAUGAAUUGCCAAGUACCUCAGCUCAGAAAGCAACUCUAUCUCGCUUGGAAGUUCACCAUGUAGACAAAAUUGUCUCAAGUCCAAUACUCUCAGACGCUUGAAAAAGAGAAAUAGGAAUUUAGGAAAACCACUUCGGAGCAUCUCAUCCUCCUGAGCAUAGAACAUCAGAGAGUUCACACGGGUUGAGCAUAGCCUUGAGUCCGCAAAAAUAUCCUGCCCUGAAAAAAUGCAUAACCUUUGCAGAUUGCGUGGCUCAUCAAAGGUGAAAAGUUUAUCAUCUCCAUGUAAAAACUGCAGAAAAUUUUCUUUCUGGGCUUUUACCAAACAAAACUCGUGCAACAAAUCAUGAAUGCGGCAAGUUCUAACACCACCUAGGGAUCUUUCUUUGGAAACCAUAACCAAGCUUCUGCUUGUCAGUUCAUAUAUGUACUCCUCAGCUACAUCCUCCAAGCUCUUUAUCUCACUUUCCUGGACAAAUCCUUCAGCGAUCCAUAAACUCAUCAACCUCCAAGAGGGAAUCUCUCUGUCUUCGGGAAAUGCUGCGAAGUAGAGAAAGCAUGGCUUUAGAUAUUCAGGUAAAUGCUGGUAACUCAGCUCUAAUACAUCCAUGCACUGAUCUGUAGCACAAACAGCACUUAAGCUUAGUCUUUCCGCGACCUCUAUCCAACCAUCAUCUUUCUCCAAUCUAGCAAGAAUUCCAGCUACCGUAACAAUCGUGAGAGGUAAACCCUGACAAUGUCUGGCUAUCUGCAUCCCUAGAUCACUGUGCGCUAAAGGAAAGCCAUUUUCUUCAGGUAGCUUCUUCUGCAGUAAUUCCCAACUCUCCUUAUCAGUGAGUCGUUGAAGAUGGUGAAUUGUAACAUUCUGGUUGAUUUCCAAAGCCACCAUAGGAAGUCGACUGGUUAAGAGGAUUCUACUUCCAUUGGCAUUAUCUGGGAAAGAUCUUUCCAACGCAUUCCAAGCCUCACUACUCCACACAUCAUCAAGAACAAUGAGAUACCUAAUUUUCAUCAAACGUUGCUUUAGUUUUUCUUCCAACUCAUCUUCAUUCUUCUUUGAAUAUUCAUCACCAGAGUGGUGUUUUUUUCUUUGUAGCUGAUCCUCAAAAAGGUCAGGAUCCAUACAACUCAAAAUCUGAAGCAGCACAUCUUUAUGCUGAUAGAGCUGAGAAACAGCACACCAUGCACGGAUAUGAAAAACGCAUCUAAUUGAAGGAUCAUCAUAAACAUUUUGGGCCAAAGUCGUCUUACCUAUUCCAGGCAUACCAACAAUGGAAACAAACCCCAACUGCUUUUGUCCUCUUGUAAGUUUGUGAAUUAUUGUGGCUUCAUCUUCCAGCCUCACCCGAACUUUGUUGGUUGUCCUGCUCACACUAUGGGCUUCCAAUCUAUACUUAUUGUCACAAAUGUUCAUGGCUUCCAUCUUAGCAAGAUUAAUCUCUUUAAGUUCUUCCCUGAUGGAAUCAAAUAUGAUUGGAGACCUAAAAUCUGGAAUGUCUCCAAUGAACAAGGAUUUAACCGUCAGCUGUGUCUUAUGCGCCGCCACCAUGACACGUCUCCGAAGGGCUUGGUUGCUCUGGUCCACACUGAUCUCCAUCAAAGAUCUUAAUGAUGCAAGAUCUUCUCGGAUAGUUUGAAUUUGAUCCUUUGCAAAAGCAAUUGAACCAACCUCACAACUCGGCAGCUCUUUCAGAUUUUCUAGGAGAAAAUCCAUAAAACCAAGCUCAUUGUUUCUUGGAAAGAUGAAUGUCGAUGUAACUACUUUUACAAGCUUAAUCUUUCCCACGAAGUUGAGAAGUGCCAAAUCAAAUUCCUUGGCCAAGCCUUCUUUCAAGACGUGCAAAAAAAUUAGGCAAAUUAUGAUUCCUGCUUCGUUGACCGCAGCUCGAAUGAGAUCCUUCACCUUUUCAUGAAGCCCAUCAAACUUCUCCGGGUACUUCAUAAGAAUGGUUUUCAAGAAUCUUAGUCCCUUAUAGAGCAGUGGUAUUUGCUCCUCAAAAUUGAUAAUCAACACAGCAUCACGACAUAGUAGCUUAUCAAGACUGUCCAGGAGAAAAAAAACAUGGUGCUCCAAUAGACGUCUGUUCGUCGCCAGAAUGUUGGAUGAUCUUUUCCAGUCUGUAGCUGUCAAGACUUUGAUGUAACUCUCAAGCAUCUGGGGUUCAACAGACAUGACUUUUGCCAGCACCCCAGAAAUCUUUGUUUUCAUUUCGUCACGCACGAUCGCAUCCCUUUUGCGACCCGUGGAAAUGAAAAAGACGCUUGCCGCUGCAUUGACUGCCACAAGUUCCAAAUGAGUCAAGAGAACCUUCAACUGCCUGUGCUGAAACCCUUUCAAUUCUGCAAAGAGAAUGAAUCGUUUGAAGAAUUCUAGCUUCUCUUUAAUGUAUGAGAUCAGAGUUCCCAGGUAGACAUUGCCCAAGUCGAGAAGAUCUUCCAUAUUUGCCAACAGCAGGUCAAUGAAUUCCAUAAGUUCGUCUCUGGAUUGCAAGGAGUAACCCAACGCAGUGAUGUUGGAAUAGGAUUCGUUGAUUUUUUGUGUGAAAGACCACAAGCUUCCCCGAAAAUCUUCCACCAUCCCAAUAAAAUAAGCUUUCAUGUGAGAUCGUGGAUAGAAUCGUUCCUCUACUCCAAGACGAAUGGAGUCCAACUCCUUUCCUAUUCGGUUAACUGCAUCUUCAAGGCUAUGCAACAGAGAUCCAAGACUUGCAUUUUCAUCAGAUUUAAAGUAGAGAAAUAUGCUACGCAUGAAAGAUCCAAGAGAUUCCCAACUGAUCAAACGAUUGCUGCUCCUCCAGUACUUCCGAGCACACAAAACAAAUGUUCUCACAAGUCUUAGAUCCGUCCUCAGCCCCGUCCACAGAUGAGAUUCUACGUCCAGAUCUUUUGCCAGAUGCUCUAGAGCAUUUAAGACUCUAUCAACCGAAGCACAGCCCAUCUUUGAUUCUUUCUAUCCUCUGCAGCAAUGGAAGACACUCGAAACCUUACCUCCUUUUUUUCAACUUCAGCCAACACGAACUCCAGGAACUAAUCUACGCUGCUGAAAAUUAAGCGGUUCCUCUCUCAAUAUUUCGGUAAACCCCUUCCUACAAUGAAUGAAUGGAACAAGAUCUCUAUCUUCUAUCUUCUUUUUUUUUUUUUUUUGGUUGGGUACACAAGGGCAACUGUAGAGUGACUGCCUGGCUCCUUUCUUCCGUGGCCGCAGGGGAAAGGUCGCUUUUACGCGCAACACAGCAGGGGGGCGUUUCCAGUGGAGUUUUCUACCAAAAAUUUUUUACAUUUUUCAUUCAUCUUUUUUUUUAUUUUUCGCAUGUAUUAAAUCACAACAGUAUAUUUUUCACAAAAACUUCAAAAAAUUGCAAUUCAAAUGGAAUCAAACCCUCCUCUUUUGAUAAAAGAAAAAGGAACAUUUGCAAAAGGGAAAAUCGUUUAAAAUUUAGUCUCAAUCUAAGUUUUGAAUCACUUCUUACUCUAAAUUUUUCAAAUAAUUCACACAUGGUCAUUGUUUUAAGACAAAUGACUUGAUUCAUUAUAAAAACAAAUGACUGGAUCCAUUAUUCAUUUUUGUCCCCUCAGAAGUAGGAUUUGACUUAUAUCAUAUUCAUUUUUCUUUAAAAGGUGAAAUUGGAUCCAAAUAUUAAUCUUUGUCACUAAAAAAGAAAAAAAAAAAAAAGUAGGAUCUGACCUUUUUAUACAUAAAAAUGACAGCAUGUGGGUCACUUUGCAAUUUCAACUAAAAAGCAAUUAAAAAUUUAAGUUAGGACCAAAUUUUGCUUAUUUAAAUUUAUAAGGAAUACAAAAUUAAUAUUUAAAAAUAAAGAACAAAAAAUUUUAUUUGACUAAGGUUCCGUUUGAUAAAAUUGAAUAUGAAUUCUGAAAUCUGAAUACUGAAACAAUUGCUUUGCUGAAUUUUAAGCACUAAAAAGAAAUAUAUGAAUACCUGAAUUUUAAUGUUAAAUCUAUUUAUACUAUUUGAUAAACAUUUUAUAACUGAAUGCUUAGUAAGUUAAAUUUGAUAAUUUUGCCCUUAUAUGUUUUCAUCCAAAAAUAAAUAGAACCUGUGAUUUAAUUAGCAUAAAAUUGUUAGGUAUGAAAAUGACAAUAUUUAUUUUUAAAUCAAAUUAAUAUAAAAAUGAAAUAUAUUAUAUGAGGAGUAUAGAGAAGAUGUGAAAGUCAUUAAAAAUGGAAAAAAGAGAAUAGAAAACCAUUAGAUAAAGAAUAUCAAGCUGUUAAAUUAGAUAAGAAUUUUGAAUAUAAUUAAUAAAUAAGAAUAGAUUCGGGAGAUAAGAUAAGGUAAUUGAAAUAAUUCUAUUGAUUUUUAUCAAAAUUAAGCAAUCAGUUAACAUUCUUGUACUCAAAAAAUAUACACAAGUUCAGCACUGCUUAACAAAUUCAGCAGAUGGAUUUUCAUUUAUCAAAUACUCAAAAUAUUUGAAUGUCUCAAAAAGUUCAGUUUCAGCACUUUUUUAUAUUAUUAAAUAGACCCUAAAUGUUAUGCACUUUUUGGAUAGAAGAUUAUUUGGGAUAAUUUUUAAAAAAAAAAUAUUGUAGUACUUUUUUGAUAUGCUGUAUGUGAGAUAAAAAGAUGAUUAAAAAAUAUAUUGAUAAUGUAAGAAAAUCAAUGUAUGUAAAUAAGGUAUAAAUAAGGUGCAAACCAACGAUACCGUAAAUUUCUACUCCUACAAUCACUGCUUUACAGUUUGAUUGCACUAUCACUUGCACAGUUAUUAAACCCGGCCCGGCCCGGCGGUCGGACCGGUCAAACCGGUGGCCCGGUCAUGAAACCGGGCUGAUUUUCUAGUUGGAUCGGAGUUGCAAAGAACCCGCCUUGACCCGUUCGACCCGGACGGUUUAACCAUAGAACCGCUAGAACCGGCGGUUAUUGAUAAACCCGGUGGGUUUUGGUAAUUUUUUUGAAGUUACCGUUUUAUCCAAUUUUUUUAUUUAGACCAUUCAUACUACAUGGGCAUUAUCGUCUUUUUAGCCAAAUAAAAGAGAAAAUCAGAAAAAUUGAAGAAUGAAGAGGGAAUCGGACAUUUGGCCGUCAUUGGGGAUUUAGGCAUUAGGGAUUGUUUUCUUCUUUGUUUCUCUGAGAAGCGAGAACAAAUGGAGAACUUUUUAAGCAUUUAGGCAUUCGGCCAUUGUUUUGUCGGCACUGGCAGGUUUGAACAAUUUUUCUUUCGGCACUGGCAGGUUUGAACAAUUUGUCGGCACUGGCCAUUGUUUUGUCGGCACUGGAACUUGGAAGUUCGAAGUUCUUCAAGGAAGCCGCCGCUGCUACUGAAGCUGCCGUUGCUACUGAAGCUGCCGCUGCCGUUGCUACUGAAGCUGCCGCAGCCACCGAAGCUCCAGGUACUCGAAGCUACCACUGCCGCUACCAGGUACUCGAGGCUGCCGCUGCCGCUGCCGCUGCCGCCGCUACUGAAGCUGCUGCUACCACCGAAGCUCCAGGUACUCGAGGCUGCCGCUGCCGCUGCCGCUGCCGCCGCCACCGAAGCUGCCGCUUCCAGGAAGCUUUGUUCCUCUCAAUCCUCUUGUGGAGUUUGACGGUCUCUCUCCCUAUUCUCUUAAGGAGUUAAGUCUCUCCGAAUUCUCUGACCGCAGGCAAUAUUUUGUUUCUUCUUUCUUUUUGGAUGAUUAUUUAUUUCUUCUUCCUCUGCAUCGAACUUCAACAUGUGUAGUUACAUAAAUUUUCAGUGCCAUUUAAUACUCUUUGCUUCUGAGAAUUUAAUUUCAACAUGGUUAAAUUCAUUACCUGUAUUUAAUCACUUGCCUCGAACCCGUCAUUGAUAUAUUAGUUCAAAAUGUAGAUAUUGUUGCCAGUGUCUUUUUAAGGUUUCAAAUUGUCAAAUCAAAUUUAGAUUCAUUCACUGAUGAGCUACAAACAACCUUGGAGCAAUUCUAUGAUGCUCUGUAAUUGCCAACUAUGAAGAAUUAAAUCAGUAAGGGUAGAGCAAAAACACAUUUGGGAUAAAAUAUUCUUCUUGAAUAUUCACAGCACGAGAAUCAGUUGAGGAAGGCUUUAUGUUUUGCCAGUUCUUGCGGUACAAUAGCCGUAACAAAAAAUGGAGUUACCCCUGCCCUUCCAACAAUUGAAGCUAUCCUGCAACUUCUAACCAAGGUCACUGCAUGAAUAGAAUAUUAUACAAUUAGUGAUUCUUAUCUUGUUUCUUCUACGUAGUUUGACUUGUAUAAAGUAAUUUGGUUCCACUGCUCCAGCUAUUAUAAGUCCUUCUUUAUCUACUUUUCAUAAACAAUGAUCGGCACUUCACCUGUCGUAAAACACGGUCGUAUUUUCACGUGAGCAAGUUUCUAGUAGUUUAAUUGCAUCAUUGAACUUAACCUGUAGCUAAUUUUUUUAAAUAAAAGAUAUGUUUUAUUAUUUUUCAGAUAUUUCAUAUUUGUAAUGGACUCUAUUGGAGAAACACCGUCUCAAACACCAAGUACAGAACCAACACCUAGUACAUCAAAUUCUCAAAAUCAACCUCUAACAAGGGGAAAGACGGACCCUGCAUGGUCCCAUUGUAGAGAAGAUUCUGUGUCCAACAAAAAAGUUAAGUGCUUGGUAUGUAUUCAUUGUGGAAAAAGAAUUCGAGGAGGUGGUAUCAAUCGAUUCAAGCAGCACCUUGCAGGCGUAAAAGGAGAGACAGCACCUUGUCCGAAGGUUGAUGAACAAAUCAGAUUUGAAAUGCUAGAAAACUUGAAAGCUGUGGAAAGUAAGAAAAGAAGCUUGAAAGAACGCUCAAGGGGAAGUGAUUUAUAUGGUCAAGAUCUAAGACAACAUGAAGAGGAGGUAUACAUGCAAGAUGCAGAAGAUAUUCAAGAGAUUCAACCACCUCCUACUACUGAAGUUUCAAAAGGAAAAAAAGUUCUUCAACAGCACAAAAAAGGAAAAACAAUAGGAACUUUUUUUAUGCCAAGAGCUACUCCAGGAGGUCAACCAUCCAUCAAAAGUGUGAUGCAAAGCAAAGAAGCUAAAGAGAAGGUUGACAUGGCAGUUGCGAAGUGGAUGAUUGAUGCUUCCAUCCCCUUCAAUGCAGCAAACUCUGCAUAUUAUCAAAUAAUGUUUGAUGCUGCUUGUUCUUUUGGAGCUGGUUACAAAGCGCCUAAUUUCUAUGACUUGCGUGGCUAUUUGUUGACAAAAAAUGUUGAGCAAGUUAAGAAUUUUGUUAAUAGCUUUCGUACAACUUGGAAAGAAACUGGAUGUACUAUUAUGGCUGAUGGAUGGACUGACCAACAAAGGAGAACUCUCAUCAACUUUCUAGCUUAUUGCCCUAGAGGAACUGUUUUUCUAAAAUCAGUUGAUGCCUCGGAUGCUUCUAAGACUGCAGAGAUGUUGUAUAAGCUGUUUAGAGAAGUGGUUUUAUUUGUUGGGGUGCAAAAUGUGGUACACUUCGUCACUGACAAUGCUGCCAAUUAUGUUGCUGCUGGAAGAUUAUUAGAAAGGGAAUUUCCAACACUUUAUUGGUCUCCAUGUGCUGCUCAUUGUCUAAAUUUGAUGCUACAUGAUAUGGGCAAGUUAGAUGAGGUUAGUAAAGUGGUUGGACAUGCUUCAAAAAUAACAAAAUACAUUUAUAAUCAUUGUUAUCCAUUGCAUUUGAUGAGAAAACACACUGGUGGAAGAGAAAUUAUUCGGCCUGCUCCUACACGUUUUGCUACUAAUUUCAUUGCAUUGCAAAGUAUUUUAGUGCAAAAAGAUGCUUUAAGAGCUAUGGUGACUUCAAAAGAAUGGACUCUAUCAGCAUAUGCUAAGGAGAGUAAAGCAAAAAAAUUUGUGGAUCUUGUGCUAGAUUCUAUAUUUUGGAAAGAAUGUGCUAUAAUAGUUCAAUUAACUGAGCCUCUUGUUCGAGUUCUAAGAAUUGUUGAUAGUGAUGAAAGGCCUGCUAUGGGAUACUUGUAUGCUGCCAUGCAUAGAGCCAGAGAAGAGCUUUUGAGAAGAUUCACAAGAAAAAAGAAAGCAGUUGAUCCUUACUUAAGAAUAAUUGAUUCAAGAUGGGAUAGUCAGCUUCACAAAAAUCUUCAUGCUGCCGGUUAUUGGCUCAAUCCUGCUUAUCAAUAUAAUUCUCUUGAUUUGGAAAAGCACAGGCAUGCAACAUCAGGACUUUUGGAUGUGAUUGAGAGAUAUUCUUAUGCAAAUCCUGAUUUGAUGAGUAAUUUGACCGGAGAGAUGAGAUUAUUUCGUAAAGCUGAAGGUGAUUUUGGUAGAGUCUCUGCUAUACGAGAUCGUGAUGUCAUGCUUCCAGGUACCCAAAAAUUAACUUCAUUUUUAUUGAUGAUUUGAUUUUAAUUGUAAAAUAUUAUAAUCUGACUUUUUUCCUUUAUUUAUUGCAAUAGAUGAAUGGUGGACAUGUUAUGGUAGCACUGCACCUAAUUUGCAAAAACUAGCUAUACGUGUUCUAAGCCAAACUUGCAGUGCUUCUGGCUGUGAAAGAAAUUGGAGUUUAUUUGAGCAUAUCCACUCAAAGAAGAGAAAUAGAUUGGAGCAUCAAAGACUAAAUGAUUUGGUUUAUGUACACUACAAUUUAAGACUACAACAAAGGUAAACUACAUUUUGCAAUCAGAUUUUUGUUUUAAUAUGAUGACAUUUGUUAUUUAACUAGUUUUAAUGUUUUGUAUCAUUAGAAAUGCAAGGGGUAGAAAUUAUGAUCCUAUUGAUUUUGAGGACUUCAGCAUCAAUGAAACUUGGAUUUUGGAUGAUGAACCUUCACAAUUAACUCCAGUUGAAUUAGAAAGCUUUAGGAAUGAAAUAGCUACAUUUGCUAUCAGCCGACAAAGUGGUGAGUUAUUUUUUUUGAGCCAUAUGUUUGCUUAUUCUUUGUUUUUCGUUUUUGGCUAAAUAUUAUCCAAAUUUAGUGAAUGAUUCAUUGAUUUUUGUACUUAUGUAGAUGAAACUCUAAAUUUGGAUGAUUUGGACACUGGAGAUGAAGAUGAGACCAAUAAUGAAGAGAAUGUUGAAAGAAAUGAUCUUAAUGUGGGCUGUGAUGUAAAUGAACUUGGUGGUAUUGAAUUUGGCAGAAGUUGGGAACCAUGGGCAUGAAUAAUAGAUGGAGUGAACUACUCAAGUGAUAAUUGUGGUGUUGUUUAUGUUCAUGACUUUAUGUUUGGUUGUAUUGAAUUUGUCGUUUAUGACUUAUGUUUCAUGGUUUGAUACUUCUAUUUAUGUGUGUGAAAUGAAUUAUGAACUAUGAACAGGUUAUAACUUGUUGAGAUUUAAGAAUUUCUGCACUUAUAUUAUAAUUUACAUGUUUAUUUAAUUAUAUUAUAUAUAUUUUUUAUUAUAUAUUGUGACCCAACGGUUCAACCAGUGACCCACCGGUUGAACCACUGACCCGUCAACCCGGUCCUCUUGCCGGGUUGAUGUCCGGGUUGGUUUUAAUAACUAUGAUCACUUGUCUCCAUCCUUCUUCUUUGCGCUUUCCACGAUGCUAUUAUAUUAAACCAUUAGGGAAAUUGUCAAUGCGGAAACCAAAACUUUUUAGGCUAAAUAACCAACUACUCCCAUGUGGUUUCGCAUACUACCAAAUGACUCUCUUAACAUUUUGAAGUUUCCAAAUAACCCCACAUAAUUUUAUAUAAAGGGAAAACUUGACGAAAAGCAAUUUCCUAUUAGUUGAAAUGCUAGUAUUAACCAAAUGAGAACUGAAUAGAUAUUUAUGUUAAAUUAUAUGGAAUCAAGUGGAUAUUAUAUUAUAAUUUUACCAUAUGCACUUUAGGAUGGUGCCUAGAUACAGAGAUGCACUUUUCGCUCACUUUUUACUUUGCAUAAAACCACAUAUGAGUAACGUGAAUAUUCUAAAACAUUAGAAAAGUAGCAUGGUAAUAUGCAAAAACAUAGGGUGUUUCUAGUAAUUUAAUCCAAUUUGUACAUAAAAGCAUAGUUAUUAAAUUCGAUCCCGAUAAACUUUUGAACUUCAGUUGAACAAGAACUGUAGUAAGUAUUCUAUGCUGCUGAAAAUCAAUUGUUUUCCUUCUUUUUUCGCAGAAAAACUUUGAACUUCUGUCGAACGGGAACUAGGAGGUAUCCUAUCCUAUGCUGCUGUUUUUGGGUGCUUAGUGCUCUUACUUCUAUGAAUAUUUUGGUCAACCCCUUCUUUUUCUUAGUGAAAUUAUGAGCAGAAUGAAACAAAUCCGCCGAUUCAGGCAGCCAUGUCAAACAAUCAGGGAAAUCAUUAAUGGCGCAAAAAAGAAAAAAAAAAUCUUCUCAAGCCUCAUUUCCAUCUCAAUUCCACGGAUAACAGCCUAUUUGACCAGAGCAUUAAUUUCUUUAAGUUUUUUUUUUUUUGUUAAGUAGUACCCAACUAAAUUAAUAAAGAUGUUAAACUUUGACUCAAUGAUGAAUAAUUUUUUAUGCAUUUAAUGUCAACUUGACAGACGAAGCAUUCUCUACCCCUUGAAAAUAGAAGGUAUUCACAGUACACCAAAAUACAAGGAAUGUGAAAAUGCAGAUGCCAAACAAAACGUUGAAUAGAAUUGGGAUUGACGCAUGAAGAUAACAAGGAUUCAAAGCCAAAGAAAACUGACUCAUGGGAGGCCAAUUUGAGGUGCUAGAAAAAGAAGUAAAGCUUAAACCAUGAAAGAGAAGGGGGAAGAUUACUGUAAGAAGUAGAAAUGCAAGAAAACUGGGGAGAAAGGUGGGGAGGGCAAUAAUGCGCAAAUACCGUUCGUUAGAUCCCCCCUAAAAGAGUAGAGUAGAACCCACUUGUACCUUUUUUUUGUACAUUCGUCUCAAAUGCAUCUCAGGUAAUCUCACGAAUUUUUAUAGCACAAACUAACAUGUACAAAAACAGCAAUUUGUUGAGGAAAAUAACUAAAUUAUGGCGAGCUAAACGCUCGAGAGAAAAUGCACCCAAUAAUCACCCCCUUGGUUUUUUGGUUCCAUCUUUCUGACACUCAUUUUCUUCUGGGAUGUGAAGGACCAAUUUGCUGGUGGUAUUUGUGGACUUCUUCACCCUGGUGAAGCACUCUGGACUUCAGGUAUGAUAAGAACCAGUAGUAAAUCACUAACCAUAGGCCCGGCAGCCAGCCGUUGUUUAAUGAAGGUAAGAUGUAGUACUAUAUCAUUUCUCUCUGUGCUUUUAGCUCCAGAAAUGCAUAUUCUUGGAUACAGAUUAUGCAAGGUCAUGUGCACUUGUGCUUAACCUAGGUUACAAGAAGAGAGAUAUUCUACUUAUCGAACAGACUACAAGAGCAAGAUCAAAAUCUCUGUUCUUACAACGUUCAUGCAAAGUCAUCAACCCUCAUUUAACUGUAAAGAAAAAGGGAAAGGAAAGGAAAAAGUUGAUGCACUUCUCAUUGCUAGUCAAGUCACUGGCAAAAACCAGGAAAAACCAAUGAAAAUGUUGACAUUGAUUCCCAGUAAAAUUAAGGUUGCACCAUAACAAAGUACUCCUAAGUGUUGGUCACUGGCAAAUGUCUUCUGGGCGUCCAUUUGAUGCACAAAUGAAGUUUCAAAACUAGGACCGACAUUACUCUAAAACUGAGAAUUUAACUUAGAAAGAGGCAAGAAAUCAUUACAAUUAAGCCAAAUGACAGGUAUCACUUCAACAAAAAAAACUCCCUCGAGGUUUAAACGACGGGAAAGCCAAGAUAUUCUUGUCACCAUACGCGAAGGCCCUUCCUAACUUUGCCAUCACCGUGUAGAUAAAAUUUCUUUAACAGUGUAAAAUAAGACAAAAAGCCAAUAACAAUACAGGAAAAAGACAACACAAAGGAAAAGCCAAUUUAAUCCCUUGGGACAGAGAAGCAAAACAUUUAACGACCAAAGACAGCAAUAAGCAAGGCUUUCUAAAGCUUGUAUAAUUCAUAACAAAAUCUUUUACAUCAGUUCACCAAGCAUAAUAAGAUACCAACCGUAUCUUCAUUUGACUUAGACGUCAAUCAAUUUACAGCUACUGUCAUAUAUUCUAAUUACAAGGUUCAAGAGCUCUGCCCUUUACUUAUUUCAUUGUAUCAGAAUCAAUCAAUGCACUUUUGACCAGUACUAGAUACUUUGUCAUGACGGCUAAGCAUCACCAGGCCUCCAUUGAUGCAUGAAAAUGCUUCUACACCUGACACUGGAUACAAAAUUCACAAGAUUAUGAAUAAAUUUAACCUCGACUGGUGCAGGAAAAUGCUUCCAUACAAAUGUCCAUAUAAAUUGAGCAUCAUUCACAGAAAAGUUUCUAUCAAGCUACA
This 63308-nucleotide long non-coding RNA is filed under the name Coffea arabica (coffee). RNAcentral describes it as "long non-coding RNA (CARA_LNC000691)". The stretch from base 19597 to 19703 matches the Rfam family "Plant small nucleolar RNA R71". Lineage: Eukaryota; Viridiplantae; Streptophyta; Magnoliopsida; Gentianales; Rubiaceae. The record is from RNAcentral.